AGGGUUUGGCAGUGGCAAAUGACAAGUGAAACUCGGUGGCGCCGGAUUGACAGAAUCGGUAUGACCGAGUUUGGCUUAGGGUUUAGGUCAUUUGUGGAUAUGGGAAAGUAGCUGAGGAUUUUGGAGCAUAUCACUAAGCACAUAAAGCAAGAGGCUCAUUAAGCAACACCUCAUCCCUCCUUGAUAGUAUUGGCUUUUCCUAAAGACUCAAUGUGAUCUUGGAUCACUAAAAUAUAAAAUGAAGAGUCUUGAACUUUUGAGCUUGAGCCAAUUCUUGUCCUUAGCAUUUUGAGGGUUCCACUUUCACAUCCAUGCCAUGCCAAUCAUUGAGCUUUCCUGAAAUAAUCAUCUUGAAAUAGCAUUAGCUCAAUGAGCUAUAUGUUGUUAUGAAUUACCAAAACCACCUAGGGAUAGUUGCACUUUCAAUCUCCCCCUUUUUGGUAAUUGAUGACAACAUAUAGAUCAAAGCUUCGACAAAUGAUAAUAAGCAUGAAAUAUAUCGUCACUUUGAGUAGUAUGUGACAAAAAAGAGCUCCCCCUAAAUUUGUGCAUAUUUAAAAUUUGCUUUGGACUGCAAAUGCACAUGGAGUUAGAAUCAUGGGUUACUCUUCCAUGUCACAUACAUCUUGGUGGAGCGCUCAAAAAUGAUAAGAUUGAAAUGCAUGCACUCAUCACCAAGAAUAGUGAAUGAUCACAGACAAUAGAUAGAAUGAUAAUAUAUAAGCAAGCAUUAGGCAAACAUUAAGUGUAGCUUAUGAUCAAACACAUGAUCAUCGAUGUCUCACGAGCAUAAGGACGUAGUAUCUCACACACAAGCAAACAAAGUUCGAAAACCACCAAAUAAAAUAAGAGAGAAAAGGCAACACUCUCUCUCUCUCUCUCUCUCAGCCUAUGAUCUAUACAUCUUCUCCCCCUUUGGCAACAAGUUACCAAAAAGUUCCUAGAAAAUGCAUAGUGCUAAGUCGACGCUCAGGCUUGAUCUUCAGGUGGUGGUGGAGUCCAGAGCACGCCAAGGACGAAGCCUUCAGUAGAAGUGGUCGGAGUCGAGGCUGAAGUGGAUGCUGGAGCUGGUGGAACGGAGGCUGUAGCUGGUGCAGACGUUGUAGCUCUAGUGGCAGCAACUGGCAGUGCAGACGACCUCGGACCUCGUGGCACCCUUGCAAACGCAUCAGUUGUGGUCCUGCCUCUCCUCUCAUUCAUGUCCUCCUGAAGCUGCUCCACGGCGGUCUGUAUUUCUGUUACCUUGAUGUCCAUGUCAUAGAACCUCUGUUCCAUGAUCCUCUCUAGGCUUGCCUGGUUCUAAGUCAGGGUGGCAAGUCCUUGCUCAAUACGCAGGGUGGACGCUAUCAGGUAACCGCGCUGCUCUUGCUUCGUCUUCAAGAAGUAAUCAGAUGCCUCUGCUUGAGUAGGCAUCCUGGCAGCUUUUUCCUUCCUCGCCUUCUCCUUCUGAGCUUGUGCAUGUGCAGAUGAGGGUUCAUUUUCAGUCAUAACCACUUGGUUAUACUCGAAAUCUGGACGGAUGGGCAGGUGUUCCUUAUCCAAUAAAUACACGCCCGUUCCCAUCUUGGAGUUGAUGAGCUCCUGAAUCUGUGGGGCAUACCCACAACUCCUCUUCUGAUCUGCAGCUGUCCUCUUGAUUGUUUCCACAAUGAGACUCAUGACCUUGAAUUUCUGAGGCACGUCAAAUACAUGAAGCAAGUUGAUCGCGUGACCUCUGAUCAUCUUGUGAUCUCCUGAUUUGGGUAGAAGGGUGUGCCUAAGGAUCCAGUUGAUCGUAGGCAAUCCUGAGAGCAGAUAGUGCACGGAGCCAAACUUGAACGUGUCAAGCGCUUCAUUCGGGAUCUCCUUGUACAUGUUGGACAUGUAGUUGUGAUCCAUCUUUUUCUUGGCAUAGAUGUCCAAGUCAUCAGCUUGCUCCUCUGGGGCAUUGAUAGACUUCGCCCAUUCUGCCACAGUGGAUUGGUACCUCGUACCCUCAGACAUCCAUGUGAUCUUGCCAUCCGGAUAAAAGUGUGCUGUGGAGUAGAAUUGCAUGAUCAGCUCCUCGUUCCACUUUGUGAGCUUUUGCCCAACAAAGUCUGCAACUCCACACGCACUAAAGCUGUCAAAAACACCGGGGUAGUGCUCUUCAUUGUCCUUGAUGUAGGUCCAGUCGACCCAUCUCAUGUCACAAACGAUCGGCUUCUUAUCAAGCAAAACAGUCUCAUAGAAAUCUUGUUGCUCCUUGGUGUGAAAUCUGUAAUCCACGACAGUCCUUCUCCUAGAAGCAUACGGAUCUGCUUCUCUCCAUUUCCUCAGCCCUGAAUCCCUCCUGAGCUUCAUAUCCUCAGCCACAGGAUGAGCAUCGUUGUGGUCUGGGAUGUUGGGCUUGAGCUUCCUGAGAACACUUUCUUCCUCUUCUUUGAUUGCUUCAGGCAUUGGGGCCUUGUUCUUUUCUGCAGCUGGGAUGCUUCGUGUGUUUCUCUUGGGUGCACUCUUAGGCUUAGAUGCAGCCUUAGGUGCUUCCUUGGGCUUGGAUGCAGCUGUUCUUGACCUUAUAGCAUCUCCCAUGAGUUUGGCUGCCUUGGGUGCUGGUGCAGCAACCUCUUCUUCUUCUUCUUCUUCCUCCUCAUCUACCAUGAUGGAGGCCUUCCCAAGCACUCUGGCUACAGUCUUUUUCACCCUCUCUUUCCUUUUCUUGCCCUCAGCAGCAAUGGGCUCAGUGGGAGCAGGCUUCACAGUUGAAGCUCUAGCCUUUGACAUGGGCUGCCUGCCUGCUGGCCUUUUGAUCUUUAGCCCUGGCUUGGUACCUGCUGCUGGCUCAGCUCUCUUUGAUGUGGCCUCUUCCUCUGCCACAUAGUCUUCAUCCUCAGAAUCAGACGUUCUCUUCUUCCUUUGACGUGUGGCAGCCUUGGGCAGAUUGCUGGGGUGCUCCUGUUGGGGAACGCAGUAAUUUCGAAAAUUUUCCUACGCACACGCAAGAUCAUGGUGAUGCACAGCAAUGAGAGGGGAGAGUGUUGUCUACGUACCAACACAGACCGAUUGCGGAAGCGAUCACACAAUGUAGAGGAAGUAGUCGUACGUCUUCUUCCCGAUCCGACCGAUCCAAGCACCGUUACUCCGGCACCUCCGAGUUCUUAGCACACGUACAGCUCGAUGACGUUCCUCGGGCUCCGAUCUAGCAAAGCGUCGAGGAAGAGUUCCGUCAGCACGACGGCGUGAUGACGAUCUUGAUGUACUACCGACGCAGGGCUUCGCCUAAGCACUACAACGGUACGAUCGAGGUGGAAUUUGGUGGCAGGGGGCACCGCACACGGCUAAGGAACGAUCUCAAGGAUCAAGUUGUGUGUCUUGGGGUGCCCCCUGCCCCCGUAUAUAAAGGUUGGGGAAGGGGGAGCCGGCCGGCCAAGGGAGAGGAGGCGCAGGGGAGUCCUACUCCCACCGGGAGUAGGACUCCUCCCCCCAAUCCUAAUCCUAUUAGGACUCCCGGGGGGAAAAAGAGAGAGAAGGGGGGCCGGCCCCUAUCCUAGUCCUACUAGGACUUGGGCAAGGGGGGCGCCGGCCAGCUUGUGGGUUUUUCCCUUUUUCUCUUUUUCCACUAAGGCCCAAUAGGCCCAUUAGUCUCCCGGGGGGUUCCGGUAACCCUCCCGGUAUUCCGGUAAAAUCCCGAUUUCACCCGGAACACUUCCUAUGUCCAAACAUAGGCUUCCAAUAUAUCAAUCUUUACGUCUCGACCAUUUCGAGACUCCUCGUCAUGUCCGUGAUCUCAUCUGGGACUCCUAACAACCUUCGAUACAUCAAAAUGCAUAAACUCAUAAUAACUGUCAUCGUAACGUUAAGCGUGCGGACCCUAUGGUUCGAGAACAAUGUAGACAUGACCGAGACACGUCUCCGGUCAAUAACCAAUAGCGGGACCUGGAUGCCCAUAUUGGCCCCCACAUAUUCUACGAAGAUCUUUAUCGGUCAGACCGCAUAACAACAUACGUUGUUCCCUUUGUCAUCGGUAUGUUACUUGCCCGAGAUUCGAUCGUCGGUAUCCAAUACCUAGUUCAAUCUCGUUACCGGCAAGUCUCUUUACUCGUUCCGUAAUACAUCAUCUCACAACUAACAUAUUAGUUGCAGUGCUUGCAAGGCUUAUGUGAUGUGCAUUACCGAGAGGGCCCAGAGAUUCGAUCGUCGGUAUCCAAUACCUAGUUCAAUCUCGUUACCGGCAAGUCUCUUUACUCGUUCCGUAAUACAUCAUCUCACAACUAACAUAUUAGUUGCAGUGCUUGCAAGGCUUAUGUGAUGUGCAUUACCGAGAGGGCCCAGAGAUACCUCUCCGACAAUCGGAGUGACAAACCCUAAUCUUGAAAUACGCCAACCCAACAUCUACCAUUGGAGACACCUGUAGUACUCCUUUAUAAUCACCCAGUUACGUUGUGACGUUUGGUAGUACCCAAAGUGUUCCUCCGGUAAACGGGAGUUGCAUAAUCUCAUAGUUAUAGGAACAUGUAUAAGUCAUGAAGAAAGCAAUAGCAACAUACUAAAUGAUCGGAUGCUAAGCUAAUGGAAUGGGUCAUGUCAAUCAGAUCAUUCUACUAAUGAUGUGACCUCGUUAAUCAAAUAACAACUCUUUGUUCAUGGUUAGGAAACAUAACCAUCUUUGAUUAACGAGCUAGUCAAGUAGAGGCAUACUAGUGACACUCUGUUGGUCUAUGUAUUCACACAUGUAUUAUGUUUCCGGUUAAUACAAUUCUAGCAUGAAUAAUAAACAUUUAUCAUGACAUAAGGAAAUAAAUAAUAACUUUAUUAUUGCCUCUAGGGCAUAUUUCCUUCAGUCUCCCACUUGCACUAGAGUCAGUAAUCUAGAUUACACAGUAAUUAUUCUAACACCCAUGGAGCCUUGGUGCUGAUCAUGUUUUGCUCGUGGAAGAGGCUUAGUCAACGGGUCUGCAACAUUCAGAUCCGUAUGUAUCUUGCAAAUCUCUAUGUCUCCCACCUGGACUAAAUCCCGGAUGGAGUUGAAGCGUCUCUUGAUGUGUUUGGUCCUCUUGUGAAAUCUGGAUUCCUUUGCCAAGGCAAUUGCACCAGUAUUGUCACAGAAGAUUUUCAUUAGACCCGAUGCACUAGGUAUGACACCUAGAUCGGAUAUGAACUCCUUCAUCCAGACUCCUUCGUUUGCUGCUUCCGAAGCAGCUAUGUACUCCGCUUCACAUGUAGAUCCCGCUACGACGCUUUGUUUAGAACUGCACCAACUGACAGCUCCACCGUUUAAAGUAAACACGUAUCCGGUUUGCGAUUUAGAAUCGUCCGGAUCAGUGUCAAAGCUUGCAUCAACGUAACCUCUUACGGUGAGCUCUUUGUCACCUCCAUAUACGAGAAACAUAUCCUUAGUCCUUUUCAGGUAUUUCAGGAUGUUCUUGACCGCUGUCCAGUGAUCCAUUCCUAGAUUACUUUGGUACCUCCCUGCUAAACUUAUAGCAAGGCACACAUCAGGUCUGGUACACAGCAUUGCAUACAUGAUAGAGCCUAUGGCUGAAGCAUAGGGAACAUCUUUCAUUUUCUCUCUAUCUUCUGCAGUGGUCGGGCAUUGAGUCUUACUCAAUUUCAUACCUUGUAACACAGGCAAGAACCCUUUCUUUGCUUGAUCCAUUUUGAAUUUCUUCAAAAUCUUGUCAAGGUAUGUGCUUUGUGAAAGUCCAAUUAAGCGUCUUGAUCUAUCUCUAUAGAUCUUUAUGCCUAAUAUGUAAGCAGCUUCCCCGAGGUCUUUCAUCGAAAAACUUUUAUUCAAGUAUCCCUUUAUGCUAUCCAGAAAUUCUAUAUCAUUUCCAAUUAGCAAUAUGUCAUCCACAUAUAAUAUCAGAAAUGCUACAGAGCUCCCACUCACUUUCUUGUAAAUACAGGCUUCUCCAAAAGUCUGUAUAAAGCCAAAUGCUUUGAUCACACUAUCAAAGCGUUUAUUCCAACUCCGAGAUGCUUGCACCACUCCAUAAAUGGAUCGCUGGAGUUUGCAUACUUUGUUAGCUCCCUUUGGAUCGACAAAACCUUCUGGUUGCAUCAUAUACAACUCUUCUUCCAGAAAUCCAUUCAGGAAUGCAGUUUUGACAUCCAUCUGCCAAAUUUCAUAAUCAUAAAAUGCGGCAAUUGCUAACAUUAUUCUGACGGACUUAAGCAUCGCUACGGGUGAGAAGGUCUCAUCGUAGUCAACUCCUUGAACUUGUCGAAAACCUUUCGCGACAAGUCGAGCUUUAUAGACAGUAAUAUUACCGUCAGCGUCAGUCUUUUUCUUGAAGAUCCAUUUAUUCUCAAUUGCUUGCCGAUCAUCGGGCAAGUCAACCAAAGUCCAUACUUUGUUUUCAUACAUGGAUCCCAUCUCAGAUUUCAUGGCCUCAAGCCACUUUGCGGAAUCUGGGCUCACCAUCGCUUCUUCAUAGUUCGUAGGUUCAUCAUGCUCUAGCAUCAUGACUUCCAGAACUGGAUUACCGUACCACUCUGGUGCGGAUCUCACUCUGGUUGAUCUACGUGGUUCAGUAGUGUCUUGUUCUGAAGCUUCAUGAUUAUCAUCAUUGGCUUCCUCACUGAUUGGUAUAGGUGUCGCAGAAACAAUUUUCUGUGAUGUACUAUUUUCCAAUAAGGGCGCAGGUACAGUUACCUCGUCAAGUUCUACUUUCCUCCCACUCACUUCUUUCGAGAGAAACUCCUUCUCUAGAAAGUUUCUGAACUUAGCAACAAAAGUCUUGCCUUCGGAUCUGUGAUAGAAGGUGUAUCCAAUAGUUUCCUUUGGAUAUCCUAUGAAGACACACUUCUCCGAUUUGGGUUCGAGCUUAUCAGGUUGAAUCUUUUUCACAUAAGCAUCGCAGCCCCAAACUUUAAGAAACGACAACUUUGGUUUCUUGCCAAACCAUAGUUCAUAAGGUGUCGUCUCAACGGAUUUUGAUGGUGCCAUGUUUAACGUGAAUGCGGCCGUCUCUAAAGCAUAACCCCAAAACGAUAGCGGUAAAUCAGUAAGAGACAUCAUAGAUCGCACCAUAUCUAGUAAAGUACGAUUAUGACGUUCGGACACACCAUUACGUUGUGGUGUUCCGGGUGGCGUGAGUUGCGAAACUAUUCCACAAUUUUUCAAAUGUACACCAAACUCGUAACUCAAAUACUCUCCUCCACGAUCAGAUCGUAGAAACUUUAUUUUCUUGUUAUGAUGAUUUUCAACUUCACUCUGAAAUUCUUUGAACCUUUCAAAUGUUUCAGACUUAUGUUUCAUUAAGUAGAUAUACCCAUAUCUGCUUAAAUCAUCUGUGAAGGUGAGAAAAUAACGAUAUCCGCCACGAGCCUCAAUAUUCAUCGGACCACAUACAUCGGUAUGUAUGAUUUCCAAUAAAUCUGUUGCUCUCUCCAUAGUACCGGAGAACGGUGUUUUAGUCAUCUUGCCUAUGAGGCACGGUUCGCAAGUACCAAGUGAUUCAUAAUCAAGUGGUUCCAAAAGCCCAUCAGUAUGGAGUUUCUUCAUGCGCUUUACACCGAUAUGACCUAAACGGCAGUGCCACAAGUAAGUUGCACUAUCAUUAUUAACUUUGCAUCUUUUGGCCUCUACAUUAUGAAUAUGUGUAUCACUAUCUUCGAGAUUCAACAAGAACAGACCACUCUUCAAGGGUGCAUGACCAUAAAAGAUAUUAUUCAUAUAAAUAGAACAACCAUUAUUCUUUGAUUUAAAUGAAUAACCGUCUCGCAUUAAACAAGAUCCAGAUAUAAUGUUCAUGCUCAACGCUGGCACCAAAUAACAAUUAUUUAGGUCUAAUAUUAAUCCCGAAGGUAGAUGUAGAGGUAGCGUGCCGACCGCGAUCACAUCGACUUUGGAACCGUUUCCCACGCGCAUCGUCACCUCGUCCUUUGCUAGCGUCCGCUUAUUCUGUAGUCCCUGUUUCGAGUUGCAAAUAUUAGCAACAGAACCAGUAUCAAAUACCCAGGUGCUACUGCGAGCUCUAGUAAGGUACACAUCAAUAACAUGUAUAUCACAUAUACCUUUGCUCACUUUGCCAUCCUUCUUAUCCGCCAAAUACUUGGGGCAGUUCCGCUUCCAGUGACCAGUCUGCUUGCAGUAGAAGCACUCAGUUUCAGGCUUAGGUCCAGACUUGGGUUUCUUCUCCUGAGCAGCAACUUGCUUGCUGUUCUUCUUGAAGUUUCCCUUCUUCUUCCCUUUGCCCUUUUUCUUGAAACUACUGGUUUUGCUAACCAUCAACACUUGAUGCUCCUUCUUGAUUUCUACCUCCGCAGCUUUCAGCAUUGCGAAGAGCUCGGGAAUAGUCUUGUUCAUCCCUUGCAUAUUAUAGUUCAUCACGAAGCUCUUGUAGCUUGGUGGUAGUGAUUGGAGAAUUCUGUCAAUGACGCAGUCAUCUGGAAGAUUAACUCCCAUCUGAAUCAAGUGAUUAUUAUACCCAGACAUCUUGAGUAUAUGCUCACUGACAGAACUGUUCUCCUCCAUCUUACAGCUAUAGAACUUAUUGGAGACUUCAUAUCUCUCAAUUCGGGCAUUUGCUUGAAAUAUUAACUUCAACUCCUGGAACAUCUCAUAUGCUCCAUGACGUUCAAAACAUCGUUGAAGUCCCGAUUCUAAGCCGUAAAGCAUGGCACACUGAACUAUCGAGUAGUCAUCAGCUUUGCUCUGCCAGGCGUUCAUAACAUCUGGCGUUGCUCUAGCAGCAGGCCUGUCACCCAGCGUUGCUUCCAGGACGUAAUUCUUCUGUGCAGCAAUGAGGAUAAUCCUCAGGUUAUGGACCCAGUCCGUGUAGUUGCUACCAUCAUCCUUCAACUUUGCUUUCUCAAGGAACGCAUUAAAAUUCAACGGAACAAUAGCAUGAGCCAUCUAUCUACAAUCAACAUAAACAAGCAAGAUACUAUCAGGUACUAAGUUCAUGAUAAGUUUAAGUUCAGUUAAUCAAAUUACUUAGGAACUCCCACUUAGAUAGACAUCCCUCUAAUCUUCUAAGUGAUCACGUGAUCCAAAUCAACUAAACCAUAACCGAUCAUCACGUGAGAUGGAGUAGUUUUCAAUGGUGAACAUCGUUAUGUUGAUCAUAUCUACCAUAUGAUUCACGCUCGACCUUUCGGUCUCUGUGUUCCGAGGACAUAUCUUUAUAUGCUUGGCUCGUCAAGUAUAACCUGAGUAUUCUGCGUGUGCAACUGUUUUGCACCCGUUGUAUUUGGACGUAGAGCUUAUCACACCCGAUCAUCACGUGGUGUCUGGGCACGACGAACUUUGGCAACGGUGCAUACUCAGGGAGAACACUUCUUGAUAAUUUAGUGAGAGAUCAUCUUAUAAUGCUACCGUCAAUCAAAGCAAGAUAAGAUGCAUAAAAGGAUAAACAUCACAUGCAAUCAAUAUAAGUGAUAUGAUAUGGCCAUCAUCAUCUUGUGCUUGUGAUCUCCAUCUUCGAAGCACCGUUAUGAUCACCAUCGUCACCGGCGCGACACCUUGAUCUCCAUCGUAGCAUCGUUGUCGUCUCGCCAAUCUUAUGCUUCCACGACUAUCACUACCGUUUAGUAAUAAAGUAAAGCAUUACAUCGUGAUUGCAUUGCAUACAAUAAAGCGACAACCAUAUGGCUCCUGCCAGUUGCCGAUAACUCGGUUACAAAACAUGAUCAUCUCAUACAAUAAAAUCAGCAUCAUGUCUUGACCAUAUCACAUCACAACAUACCCUGCAAAAACAAGUUAGACGUCCUCUACUUUGUUGUUGCAAGUUUUACGUGGCUGCUACGGGCUUAAGUAAGAACUCAUCUCACCUACGCAUCAAAACCACAACGAUAGUUCGUCAAAUAGACUCCGUUUUAACCUUCUCAAGGACCGGGCGUAGUCACACUUGGUUCAACUAAACUUGGAGAGGCAGUCUUCCGCAAGCCAUCUGUGUGCAAAGCACGUCGAGGGAACCGGUCUCGCGUAAGAGUACGCGUAAGGUUGGUCCGGAUCGUCUCACCCAACAAUACCGCCGAACCAAAGUAUGACAUGCUGGUAGGCAGUAUGACUUGUAUCGCCCACAACUCACUUGUGUUCUACUCGUGCAUAUAACAUCAAACCAUAAAACCUAGGCUCGGAUGCCACUGUUGGGGAACGCAGUAAUUUCGAAAAUUUUCCUACGCACACGCAAGAUCAUGGUGAUGCACAGCAAUGAGAGGGGAGAGUGUUGUCUACGUACCAACGCAGACCGACUGCGGAAGCGAUCACACAACAUAGAGGAAGUAGUCGUACGUCUUCUUCCCGAUCCGACCGAUCCAAGCACCGUUACUCCGGCACCUCCGAGUUCUUAGCACACGUACAGCUCGAUAACGUUCCUCGGGCUCCGAUCUAGCAAAGCGUCGAGGAAGAGUUCCGUCAGCACGACGGCGUGAUGACGAUCUUGAUGUACUACUGACGCAGGACUUCGCCUAAGCACUACAACGGUACGAUCGAGGUGGAAUUUGGUGGCAGGGGGCACCGCACACGGCUAAGGAACGAUCUCAAGGAUCAAGUUGUGUGUCUUGGGGUGCCCCCUGCCCCCGUAUAUAAAGGUUGGGGAAGGGGGAGCCGGCCGGCCAAGGGAGAGGAGGCGCAGGGGAGUCCUACUCCCACCGGGAGUAGGACUCCUCCCCCCAAUCCUAAUCCUAUUAGGACUCCCGGGGGGAAAAAGAGAGAGAAGGGGGGCCGGCCCCUAGCCUAGUCCUACUAGGACUUGGGGAAGGGGGGCGCCGGCCAGCUUGUGGGUUUUUCCCUUUUUCUCUUUUUCCACUAAGGCCCAAUAGGCCCAUUAGUCUCCCGGGGGGUUCCGGUAACCCUCCCGGUAUUCCGGUAAAAUCCCGAUUUCACCCGGAACACUUCCUAUGUCCAAACAUAGGCUUCCAAUAUAUCAAUCUUUACGUCUCGACCAUUUCGAGACUCCUCGUCAUGUCCGUGAUCUCAUCCGGGACUCCGAACAACCUUCGAUACAUCAAAAUGCAUAAACUCAUAAUAACUGUCAUCGUAACGUUAAGCGUGCGGACCCUACGGUUCGAGAACAAUGUAGACAUGACCGAGACACGUCUCCGGUCAAUAACCAAUAGCGGGACCUGGAUGCCCAUAUUGGCUCCCACAUAUUCUACGAAGAUCUUUAUCGGUCAGACCGCAUAACAACAUACAUUGUUCCCUUUGUCAUCGGUAUGUUACUUGCCCGAGAUUCGAUCGUCGGUAUCCAAUACCUAAUUCAAUCUCGUUACCGACAAGUCUCUUUACUCGUUCCGUAAUACAUCAUCUCACAACUAACAUAUUAGUUGCAGUGCUUGCAAGGCUUAUGUGAUGUGCAUUACCGAGAGGGCCCAGAGAUACCUCUCCGACAAUCGGAGUGACAAACCCUAAUCUCGAAAUACGCCAACCCAACAUCUACCAUUGGAGACACCUGUAGUACUCCUUUAUAAUCACCCAGUUACGUUGUGACGUUUGGUAGUACCCAAAGUGUUCCUCCGGUAAACGGGAGUUGCAUAAUCUCAUAGUUAUAGGAACAUGUAUAAGUCAUGAAGAAAGCAAUAGCAACAUACUAAACGAUCGGAUGCUAAGCUAAUGGAAUGGGUCAUGUCAAUCAGAUCAUUCUACUAAUGAUGUGACCUCGUUAAUCAAAUAACAACUCUUUGUUCAUGGUUAGGAAACAUAACCAUCUUUGAUUAACGAGCUAGUCAAGUAGAGGCAUACUAGUGACACUCUGUUGGUCUAUGUAUUCACACAUGUAUUAUGUUUCCGGUUAAUACAAUUCUAGCAUGAAUAAUAAACAUUUAUCAUGACAUAAGGAAAUAAAUAAUAACUUUAUUAUUGCCUCUAGGGCAUAUUUCCUUCAGCUCCUGCUGCCAUCAUCAGAAGAGCUUGAGGGACUAGUGCCCUCACUCAUCACUACUUGCUGCUCAGACACAUUCUGGCUGUCACUUUGAUCAGACAUGUUGCACACUGACUGCUGACCCUGUGCAUAGAUUAUGGAUAAGAUAGAGUGGAUGAGCAUCACAAAAAGCAGAGAUUUUUGCAAAAGAUUAAUUCAAAAACUUAGUUUUAGUUUUCCACAGAAAGCAUCUCGGAUCUACCGAUUUUCAAACUCAGUGACACCGAAGCAGUUUUGGCACCAGAAUUGGUGAACUCGGUCAGACCGAGUCACAGUUCGGUGGCACCGAGACUGCUAGGGUUUCAUAGAAUUCCAAAAUCGGUCGCACCGAUAAGUUAUUCUCGGUCAGACCGAGUUUCACUUGUGCAAUGGCAAAAGCCAGAUCGGUGGGAUCGAGUUUUUCAACUCGGUGGGUCCGAGAUGGUUUCGGCGGAAACCUAACCCUAAAAUUGUAGAAUUAAACCUAAUCUACCAGUUCAUUGACUGGAUAGGAGUGUUUCAAUCGUGGCAAGAAUCAUGAUGAUCGCAAUGUGCUAGGAAUCGGAGUGGAGAAUAGCACAAAGAUCGAGUCCAUACCCUAGUUCGGCGGAGACUCGCUACGGCGGCAACGGCGGGGCAGAAUUCCGUUGACGGCGGCGGAGACCAGCGACUGGAGGCUGCUGGCGACGAGAAGACGAUCCGGAGACCACGGAGGCAGAGCAGGCUAUCGCGCGGGCGAAGAGGUUUCGGAGAAAUUUCCAAAAUUUUGCCCGUCACUAUAUAUAGCCCGACCCUGUCGGUGUGACCGAGUGGAACAACUCGGUGGCACCGAGAUGCAAAACUGUGUGCAGUUAUUGCAACUCGGUGUGACCGAAAAGUUCAAAUCGGUUGCACCGAGAUUGAAAACCUAGAUCAACUUAAUGAACUCGGUAGGACCGAAAAUGGAGUAUCGGUCAGACCAAGAUUCAUAAAGAGGUUUUGGAAGUUUAAGUCUAUGACGAAUCGGGGACUCCGAGCGCUCCUCACACAGAGUGGUUCGAAUCUGACUAGAUCAAGUUUUGUGAUGCAGCAUGAAUAGAGUUUGAGACGAGAAAAGCAUAGAUAGGUAGAGGAGGUUCUUAGGCAUUCUUGUCCAUCCACUUGGCAAAAGGAAGAAAGCCGAACAAUCAAAACAACAAGUGGAUGUCCUCGAAUGAGUAAAAUACGCAACCAACAUGCUCACACAAUAAGAUGGCAAAUGAAAUAUGUGGCAAAGCAUGCACAACCAAUUCUAGCAUCUAUCAAGCAAUUUGCGAUGACUAGGUCAUCUAUAUAUGAGUAUAUUGACUUAGGAGUCAAGUGAGAACACUUGAUCGUAGGUCAUACUCAUCGUUUAAGCUCAAGUGGGGUUACCACUUUUACAUAAAGCAUUGUUGUAUUCACAUCUUUAGAGUUGCUUUAGCUCAAGUCUUAGAGUAAAGCUCCCCCUAGAUGUGAUAUCCCCCCUAAGAGGGAUGAACUAACCUUGGGUUUUGUCGAUGAUGACUUCAUGUAGAUGUUGAAGAUGUGGAUGCUCCAUGUUGAUGUAGAUCACUUGGAGCUAUCCAUUUGAGUGAAUUGCACUUUCAAUACCUACAUGGGUUAGUCCCACAAGGAACAAACAAGGAUAUCCAUAGACAUAGAGUGAUGCACACACAAGAUGAUGUCCAUGAAAACUUUAGGUUACCUUGUCCCUUGUCUUACCAACACGAGGGUUCGUGACUCCUUGAACUAGUGCAAGAUGUGGAAGUUGAUUGCACUUGUUCUUGCCAAAAUGAUAAGAGUGAAGUAUGUUGGCAGAGUCACCUUCAAGAACUCUCUAGUUCUUCUUCUUUUGGAUCCACACCAUCUUGAUGGGAAUCCUUGGAGUUCUUGUCGUACUUGAUGUAGUGGAACUUGAAGUAGUCUUGGGAAUCCACUUGACUAAGGUCUUGGGAGCUUCUUCAAAUGCAUCAAUCUCCUCUUGAAGCUUCUCCUUGCCUUUUAGCUUCUAGACUUGUGGUGGAAGAUCAUCUUGAGCUUGUGUCCCCUUGAAAGAAGUGUCAUACUUCUCUUGUUGAGGAACAAACUUUGUCUUGGGGUAUUGAUCUUCUUCCCAUUCAACUCCAUUGGCAUUGAACUAUCAUUCAAAACCAACACCUUGAUUCUUCCGGUGCAUUCCUUGCUUGCGCACGAUUUCCUCGAAUUGCUUACUUCCGGCAAGGCUCUUGUAAACACCUUUCUCUAUAAUUCCCUUCAAUAAGCUAUUUUCUUGCUCAAGUGUAACUUGGCUAAGAGAAUCAUUAGUGGAAUCAAGAGAACUACUAGAAGCAACAAUAUUGGAUUUAGCAUGAUCAUUGUUACUACUAGAGGAAGAAUCCUUUUUAUUCUUGUUACUAGUCUUGACUUGAGGCAUGUAAGUGGAUAAUAGUAAACGCUUGCAAUGUAAGAAGAACUAUUCUUGCGGAGAUCAUCAUUGAUUGCUUUUAAGAACUCAUGCUCUUGCUCAAGAUUGAGCUUUUCAAAGCGUAAUUUCUCAUGAGCUCUUAAAAGUUCUCGAUGAUCUUCGAAGAUGGUUUCAUGAGCUAACUUAAGAGUGUUUAGUUCUUUAGUUAGGGCCUCAAUCUUCUCCUUAUCAUUGUCAUUCGUUUUAGCAUGAUUAAUUGAUGUUUCAUCAUAGUACUCAUCACUAGAGUGUUACCUUAGGACCUUUGGCCAUGAAGCAUCUUCCAAUUCCUUCAUUUAGGGAGUCAAAUAUGUCGUAGGAGUUGGUUGACACAAGUGCUAGACCAGCAACACCCUCAUCUUGAUUAUCUUCGGAGUCGGAGUGAUAACUUCUCUCGGAGUGGCUGUCGGAGUCGGAGCCGGAUACCCAUUCACCAACAUGAGCUUGAUGUCUUUGUUUUGUAUAGCUCCUUGAUGAUUUUUCCUUCCUUUCCGAGUCCUUGCUUCUCCGUGAGUAUCUUUGUUCAUAACGAUCAUCUCUACUCCUUCUCUCUCUUGGUGGAGAUUCUUUGCUUCUUCUUUUUGGAGAAUCUUCUCUUCUCUUGUAGGGAGCCGUACACUCAUUGGAAUAGUGUCCGGGUCUUCCACAAUUAUAGCAGUUUCGCUCUCGACUAGAAGAUCUUUUGUCAUUGUAGGACCUUGACUUGAAGCUUCUAUCUUUGCUUCUACUCUUGUAGAACUUGUUGAAGUUCUUCACGAUUAAGCUCAAUUCUUCAUUGAAGUUUUGUUUCUCACUUGAUGAUGUGGGGACUUCACAUGACGCUUUGUAGGCACCACUUGAUUUAUUGUGAAGUUCCUCUUUAUCCUUAAGUGACAUCUCAUGAGCAACAAUCCUCCCAAUUACUUCCGUUGGCUUGAGAUCUUUGUAGUUGGGCAUCAUUUGGAUUAAUGUGCACACGGUAUCAUAUUUCCCAUCCAAGGCUCUUAGGAUCUUCUUGAUGAUGAAUCUAUCGGUCAUCUCUUCACUUCCUAAGCCGGCAAUCUCAUUUGUGAUGAGAGCAAGCCUAGAGUACAUUUCAGCGACACCUUCACCAUCCUUCAUCUUGAACUUGUCAAGUUGACUUUGGAGCACAUCCAACUUGGAUUCCUUGACGGAGUCGGUACCUUCGUGCAUAUCAAUCGAAGUAUCCCAAAUUUCCUUUGCAUUCUCAAGGCGGCUGAUUUUGUUGAAUUCUUCGGGGCACAAUCCGUUGAAGAGAAUAUCACAAGCUUGAGCAUUGUAUUGCAACAUCUUCAACUCAUCCGUGGUAGCUUCACGGUUUGGUUCCCUCCCAUCGAAGAACUCACCUUGCAAGCCAACACAAACAAUAGCCCAUACGGCGGGGUUAUGUCCAAGAAUAUGCAUUUUCAUUUUAUGCUUCCAACUAGCAAAAUUAGUGCCAUCGAAAUAAGGACCUCUACGGUGAUAAUUUCCCUCACUAGACGCCAUACUCUCCUAGGUUGUGAAACCAAGGCUAUGACCACCAAAAGCUAUGAAGAUCAAGCCAAAUGGAGACCAAAGCUCUGAUACCACUUAUAGGAUCGAAAGUAUGUCUAGAGGGGGGGUGAUUAGACUACUUGACCAAUUAAAAACUUAGCCUUUUCCCAAUUUUAGUUCUUGGCAGAUUUUAGUUAUCUUAGAGUAAGUCAAGCAAUCAUUACACAAUUCAAGCAAGCAUGCAAAGAGUUUAUUGGCAGCGGAAAUUAAAGUAUGCAACUUGCAAGAAUGUAUAGGUAAGGGUUUGGAGGACUCAAACGCAAUUGGAGACACAGAUGUUUUCCCGUGGUUCGGAUAGGUGGUGCUAUCCUACAUCCACGUUGAUGGAGACUUCAACCCACGGAGGGUAACGGUUGCGCGAGUCCACGGAGGGCUCCACCCACGAAGGGUCCACGAAGAAGCAACCUUGUCUAUUCCACCAUGGCCAUCGCCCAUGAAGGACUUGCCUCACUAGCGGUAGAUCUUCACGAAGUAGGCGAUCUCCUUACCCUUACAAACUCCUUGGUUCAACUCCACAAUCUUGUCGGAGGCUCCCAAGUGACACCUAGCCAAUCUAGGAGACACCACUCUCCAAGAAGUAACAAAUGGUGUGUUGAUGAUGAACUCCUUGCUCUUGUGCUUCAAAUGAUAGUCUCCCCAACACUCAACUCUCUCUCAUAGGAUUUGGAUCUGGUGGAAAGAAGAUUUGAGUGGAAAGCAACUUGGGGAAGGCUAGAGAUCAAGAUUCAUAUGGUAGGAAUGGAAUAUCUUGGCCUCAACACAUCAGUAGGUGGUUCUUUCUCAGAACAUAUGAGUAGGAAUGAUGUUUGUGUUCUGAUGGCUCUCUCUUCGAAUGAAGAGGUGGUGGAGGGGUAUAUAUAGCCUCCACACAAAAUCCAACCGUUACACACAGUUUUCCAAUCUCGGUGGGACCGAAUCAUCAAACUCGGUCUGACCAAAAUGGUAAACCUAGUGACCGUUAGGAAUCUCGGUGGGACUGAGGUGCAACUCGGUAGGACCGAUUCGGUUAGGGUUUGGGCAUAACGUAAUCUCGGUGAGACCGAUCGCACAAACUCAGUCAGACCGAGUUCGGCAAUUAACUAACCAGAGAGUUGGUCAGGCAAACUCGGUGGGACCGACUUGCUCUUUCGGUGAGAUCGAAAAGUAACAAGAAGGAAACAUAGAGUUUACCUUGCAUUCUCGGUGGGACCGAUUCGCUCUUUUCGGUGAGACCGAGAAGUUACGAAAGGGAAACAGAGUGUUUGCAAGCCCAUCUCGGUGAGACCGAGAACCUUAUCGGUAGGACUGAAUAGCUAGGGUUUGGCAGUGACAAAUGACAAGUGAAACUCGGUGGCGCUGGAUUGACAGAAUCGGUAUGACCGAGUUUGGCUUAGGGUUUAGGUCAUUUGUGGAUAUGGGAAAGUAGCUGAGGAUUUUGGAGCAUAUCACUAAGCACAUAAAGCAAGAGGCUCAUUAAGCAACACCUCAUCCCUCCUUGAUAGUAUUGGCUUUUCCUAAAGACUCAAUGUGAUCUUGGAUCACUAAAAUAUAAAAUGAAGAGUCUUGAACUUUUGAGCUUGAGCCAAUUCUUGUCCUUAGCAUUUUGAGGGUUCCACUUUCACAUCCAUGCCAUGCCAAUCAUUGAGCUUUCCUGAAAUUAUCAUCUUGAAAUAGCAUUAGCUCAAUGAGCUAUAUGUUGUUAUGAAUUACCAAAACCACCUAGGGAUAGUUGUACUUUCAGCGGGCAGGCGGGGCGGUUUUUACCGCGGUAAGUUUCUUCGCGCGCUGUGCUUCCCAUGCUUCCCGCGCGUAGCGCGGCGUGGGGAGGCGUGUGUGACGUGGGCGGCAUGCAUGGGGUUGCUUCCCGCGGGCAUGUGUCACAUCACAGUUAAUGUGAAAGGAGGCGGCCCGCGUUUUUCCCCCAUAAGAAGGAAUAACCGUGGGCACGCUGCUCACUUUCUCCUCUUCCCUUGUGCCUUUUUUCAAUCUCAGAGCCGCCGUUCCCUCUCAUCCUUCCUUCCUAAGCUUUCGCUGUCACCCUCCGCCGCUGCUUUGCCAUCCCCCUUCCUCAGCCCUCUGAACUUCUUGGUCGCCAUGGCUCCCAAAUUCACCAAGGGCAAGGGGGUGGCUAAGGGCGCCGAGAUGGUGGAGCCGCCGGAGAGCGCGCAGUCGGGGGACCGGAUGAAGUCCGCCUUCUUCUUCCCCUCGACGGUUGAUGUUCAAGAGCUCCGGGCCUCCUUCAAGCCCCUAUGGGGAGUGAAGACGGGGGGAGAGGAUUCGGGACACCCGGCGAUGCGCGUCAUUCCUGCCGCUUGCGCUGAUCCUGCCCCAAAUCGGUACCCCUUCUUCGUUGAUUACUUUUCUUGCGGGUUAUGCCCCCCUUUCUCCGAUUUCUUCUGCGAUGUUAUGCGCACCUUCAGCUUUCGCCUCUUGGAUUUUACUCCGAAUGCGGUGGCGUGCAUGGCUUUCUUCGCGCAUCUUUGCGAAGGCUUUGCCGGGGUGCAGCCCAACACGGCGCUCUUUCGCCAUUACUUCUUCCCUCGAAUCCAGCCGGGAGGUGAAGGAAAUAUGCCCUAGAGGCAAUAAUAAAGUUAUUAUUUAUUUCCUUAUAUCAUGAUAAAUGUUUAUUAUUCAUGCUAGAAUUGUAUUAACCAGAAACAUAAUACAUGUGUGAAUACAUAGACAAACUUAAUCUCACUAGUAUGCCUCUACUUGACUAGCUUGUUAAUCAAAAAUGGUUAUGUUUCCUAACCAUGAACAAAGUGUUGUUAUUUGAUUAACGAGGUCACAUCAUUAGUUGAAUGAUCUGAUUGACAUGACUCAUUUCAUUAGCUUAGCACACGAUCGUUUAGUAUGUUGCUAUUGCUUUCUUCAUGACUUAUGCAUGUUCCUAUGACUAUGAGAUUAUGCAACUCCCGUUUCCCGGAGGAACACUUUGUGUGCUACCAAACAUCACAACGUAACUGGGUGAUUAUAAAGGAGCUCUACAGGUGUCUCCAAAGGUAGAUGUUGGGUUGGCGUAUUUCGAGAUUAGGAUUUGUCACUACGAUUGUCGGAGAGGUAUCUCUGGGCCCUCUCGGUAAUGCACAUCACAUAAGCCUUGCAAGCAUUGCAGCCAAUGAGUUAGUUGCGGGAUGAUGUAUUACGGAACGAGUAAAGAGACUUGCCAGUAAUGAGAUUGAACUAGGUAUUGGAUACCGACGAUCGAAUCUCGGGCAAGUAACAUACCGAUGACAAAGGGAACAACGUAUGUUGUUAUGCGGUCUGACCGAUAAAGAUCUUCGUAGAAUAUGUAGGAGCCAAUAUGGGCAUCCAGGUCCCGCUAUUGGUUAUUGACCGGAGAUGUGUCUCAGUCAUGUCUGCAUUAUUCUCGAACCGUAGGGUCCGCACGCUUAACGUUACGAUGACAGUUAUUAUGAGUUUAUGCAUUUUGAUGUACCGAAGUUAGUUCGGAGUCCCGGAUGUGAUCACGGACAUGACGAGGAGUCUCGAAAUGGUCGAGACAUAAAGAUUGAUAUAUUGGAAGCCUAUAUUUGGACAUCGGAAGUGUUCCGGGUGAAAUCGGGAUUUUACCGGAGUACCGGGAGGUUACCGGAACCCCCCGGGAGCCAUAUGGGCCUUAAUGGGCUUUAGUGGAAAGGAGAAAGGGGCAGCCCAAGGUGGCCGCGCGCCUCCCCCUCCCCUAGUCCUAUUAGGACUAGGAGAGGUGGCCGGCCCCCCUCUCUCUCUUCCCCCCUCGGGGAAUCCUAGUCCAACUAGGAUUGGGGGGGGGAGUCCUACUCCCGGUAGGAGUAGGACUCCUCCUGCGCCCUCCUCCUGGCCGGCGGCCCCCUCCCCCUUGGCUCCUUUAUAUACGGAGGCAGGGGGCACCUCUAGACACACAAGUUGAUCAUUAAGAUCGUUCCUUAGCCGUGUGCGGUUCCCCUUGCCACCAUAUUCCACCUCGAUCAUAUUGUAGCAAUGCUUAGGUGAAGCCCUACGACGGUAGAACAUCUAGAUCGUCACCACGCCGUCGUGCUGACUGAACUCCUCCCCGACGCUUUGCUGGAUCGGAGCCCAGGGAUCGUCAUCGAGCUGUACGUGUGCUAAGAACUCGGAGGUGCCGGAGUAACGGUGCUUGGAUCGGUCGGAUCAGGAAGACGUACGACUACUUCCUCUAUGUUGCGUCAACGCUUCCGCUGUUGAUCUACAAGGGUACGUAGAUCACACUCUCCCCUCUCGUUGUUAUGCAUCACCAUGAUCUUGCGUGUGUGUAGGAAUUUUUUUGAAAUUACUACGUUCCCCAACAGUGGCAUCCGAGCCUAGGUUUUAUGGUUUGAUGUUAUAUGCACGAGUAGAACACAAGUGAGUUGUGGGCGAUACAAGUCAUACUGCCUACCAGCAUGUCAUACUUUGGUUCGGCGGUAUUGUUGGACGAGACGACCCGGACCAACAUUACGCGUACGCUUACGCGAGACCGGUUCCCCCGACGUGCUUCGCACACAGGUGGCUUGCGGGCGACUGUCUCUCCAACUUUAGUUGAACCGAGUGUGGCUACGCCCGGUCCUUGCGAAGGUUAAAACGGAGUCUAUUUGACAAACUAUCAUUGUGGUUUUGAUGCGUAGGUGAGAUUGGAUCUUGCUUAAGCCCGUAGCAGCCAUGUAAAACUUGCAACAACAAAGUAGAGGACGUGUAACUUGUUUUUGCAGCGCAUCUUGUGAUGUGAUAUGGUCAAGACAUGAUGCUAAAUUUUAUUGUAUGAGUUGAUCAUGUUUUGUAACCGAGUUAUCGGCAACUGGCAGGAGCCAUAUGGUUGUCGCUUUAUUGUAUGCAAUGCAAUCGCGAUGUAAUGCUUUACUUUAUCACUAAGCGGUAGCGAUAGUCGUGGGAGCAUAAGAUUGGCGAGACGACAACGAUGCUACGAUGGAGAUCAAGGUGUCGUGCCGGUGACGAUGGUGAUCAUGACGGUGCUUCAGAGAUGGAGAUCACAAGCACAAGAUGAUGAUGGCCAUAUCAUAUCACUUAUAUUGAUUGCAUGUGAUGUUUAUCUUUUAUGCAUCUUAUCUUGCUUUGAUUGACGGUAGCAUUAUAAGAUGAUCUCUCACUAAAUUAUCAAGAAGUGUUCUCCCUGAGUAUGCACCGUUGCCAAAGUUCGUCGUGCCCAGACACCACGUGAUGAUCAGGUGUGAUAAGCUCUACGUCCAUCUACAACGGGUGCAAGCCAGUUUUUGCACACGCAGAAUACUCAGGUUAAACUUGACGAGCCUAGCAUAUGCAGAUAUGGCCUCUGAACACAGAGACCGAAAGGUCGAGCGUGAAUCAUAUAGUAGAUAUGAUCAACAUAAUGAUGUUCACCAUUGAAAGCUACUCCCUUUCACGUGAUGAUCGGUUAUGGUUUAGUUGAUUUGGAUCACGUGAUCACUUAGAAGAUUAGAGGGAUGUCUAUCUAAGUGGGAGUUCUUAAGUAAUUUGAUUAAUUGAACUUAAACUUAUCAUGAACUUAGUACCUGAUAGUAUCUUGCUUGUUUAUGUUGAUUGUAGAUAGAUGGCUCGUGCUGUUGUUCCGUUGAAUUUUAAUGCGUUCCUUGAGAAAACAAAGUUGAAAGAUGAUGGUAGCAAUUACACGGAUUGGGUCCAUAACUUGAGGAUUAUCCUCAUUGCUGCUCAGAAGAAUUACGUCCUGGAAGCACCGCUGGGUGCCAGGCCUGCUGCUGGAGCAACACCAGAUGUUAUGAACGUCUAGCAGAGCAAAGCUGAUGACUACUCAAUAGUUCAGUGUGCCAUGCUUUACGGCUUAGAAUCGGAACUUCAACGACAUUUUGAACGUCAUGGAGCAUAUGAGAUGUUCCAGGAGUUGAAGUUAAUAUUUCAAGAAAAUGCCCGAAUUGAGAGAUAUGAAGUCUCCAAUAAGUUCUAUAGCUGUAAGAUGGAGGAGAACAGUUCUGUCAGUGAGCAUAUACUCAAAAUGUCUGGGUAUAAUAAUCACUUGAUUCAGAUGGGAGUUAAUCUUCCAGAUGAUUGCGUCAUUGACAGAAUUCUCCAAUCACUGCCACCAAGCUACAAGAGCUUCGUGAUAAACUAUAAUAUGCAAGGGAUGAACAAGACUAUUCCCGAGCUCUUCGCAAUGCUGAAAGCGGCGGAGGUAGAAAUCAAAAAGGAGCAUCAAGUGUUGAUGGUCAGUAAGACCACUAGUUUCAAGAAAAAGUGCAAAGGGAAGAAAAAGGGGAACUUCAAGAAGAACGACAAGUAAGUUGCUGCUCAAGAGAAGAAACCCAAGUCUGGACCUAAGCCUGAAACUGAGUGCUUCUACUGCAAGCAGACUGGUCACUGGAAGCGGAACUGCCCCAAGUAUUUGGCGGAUAAGAAGGAUGGCAAGGUGAACAAAGGUAUAUGUGAUAUACAUGUUAUUGAUGUGUACCUCACUAGAGCUCGCAGUAGCACCUGGGUAUUUGAUACUGGUUCUGGUGCUAAUAUUUGCAACUCGAAACAGGGACUACGGAUUAAGCGAACACUGGCGAAGGACGAGGUGACGAUGCGCGUGGGAAACGGUUCCAAAGUCGAUGUGAUCGCGGUCGGCACGCUACCUCUACAUCUACCUUCGGGAUUAAUAUUAGACCUAAAUAAUUGUUAUUUGGUGCCAGCGUUGAGCAUGAACAUUAUAUCUGGAUCUUGUUUGAUGCGAGACGGUUAUUCAUUUAAAUCAGAGAAUAAUGGUUGUUCUAUUUAUAUGAGUAAUAUCUUUUAUGGUCAUGCACCUUUGAAGAGUGGUCUAUUUUUGAUGAAUCUCGAUAGUAGUAACACACAUAUUCAUAAUGUUGAAGCCAAAAGAUGCAGAGUUGAUAAUGAUAGUGCAACUUAUUUGUGGCACUGCCGUUUAGGUCAUAUCGGUAUAAAGCGCAUGAAGAAACUCCAUAUUGAUGGACUUUUGGAACCACUUGAUUAUGAAUCACUUGUUACUUGCGAACCGUGCCUCAUAGGCAAGAUGAAUAAAACACCGUUCUCCGGUACUAUGGAGAGAGCAACAGAUUUGUUGGAAAUCGUACAUACCGAUGUAUGUGGUCCGAUGAAUAUUGAGGCUCGUGGCGGAUAUCGUUAUUUUCUCACUUUCACAGAUGAUUUAAGCAGAUAUGGGUAUAUCUACCUAAUGAAACAUAAGUCUGAAACAUUUGAAAAGUUCAAAGAAUUUCAGAGUGAAGUUGAAAAUCAUCGUAACAAGAAAAUAAAGUUUCUACGAUCUGAUCGUGGAGGAGAAUAUUUGAUUUACGAGUUUGGUGUACAUUUGAAAAAUUGUGGAAUAGUUUCGCAACUCACGCCACCCGGAACACCACAACGUAAUGGUGUGUCCGAACGUCGUAAUCAUACUUUACUAGAUAUGGUGCGAUCUAUGAUGUCUCUCACUGAUUUACCGCUAUCGUUUUGGGGUUAUGCUUUAGAGACGACCGCAUUCACGUUAAAUAGGGCACCAUCAAAAUCCGUUGAGACGACGCCUUAUGAACUAUGGUAUGGCAAGAAACCAAAGUUGUCAUUUCUUAAAGUUUGGGGCUGCGAUGCUUAUGUGAAAAAGCUUCAACCUGAUAAGCUCGAACCCAAAUCGGAGAAAUGUGUCUUCAUAGGAUACCCAAAGGAGACUGUUGGGUACACCUUCUAUCACAGAUCCGAAGGCAAGACAUUCGUUGCUAAGAAUGGAUCAUUUCUAGAGAAGGAGUUUCUCUCGAAAGAAGUGAGUGGGAGAAAAGUAGAACUUGACGAGGUAACUGUACCUGCUCCCUUAUUGGAAAAUAGUACAUCACAGAAAACUGUUUCUGCGACACCUAUACCAAUUAGUGAGGAAGCUAAUGAUGAUGAUCAUGAAACUUCAGGACAAGAUACUACUGAACCUCGUAGGUCAACCAGAGUGAGAUCCGCACCAGAGUGGUACAGUAAUCCUAUUCUGGAAAUCAUGCUGCUAGAUCAUGAUGAACCUACGAACUAUGAAGAAGCGAUGGUGAGCCCAGAUUCCGCAAAGUGGCUUGAAGCCAUGAAAUCUGAGAUGGGAUCCAUGUAUGAGAACAAAGUAUGGACUUUGGUUGACUUGCCCGUUGAUCGGCAAGCAAUUGAGAAUAAAUGGAUCUUUAAGAAGAAGACUGACGCUGAUGGUAAUGUUACUGUCUACAAAGCUCGACUUGUCGCAAAAGGUUUUCGACAAGUUCAAGGGGUUGACUACGAUGAGACCUUCUCACCUGUAGUGAUGCUUAAGUCUGUCCGAAUCAUAUUAGCAAUUGCCGCAUUUUAUGAUUAUGAAAUUUGGCAGAUGGAUGUCAAAACUGCAUUCCUGAAUGGAUUUCUAGAAGAAGAGUUGUAUACGAUGCAACCGGAAGGUUUUGUCGAUCCAAAGGGAGCUAACAAAGUGUGCAAGCUCCAGCGAUCCAUUUAUGGACUGGUGCAAGCAUCUCGGAGUUGGAAUAAACGCUUUGAUAGUGUGAUCAAAGCAUUUGGUUUUAUACAGACUUUCGAUGAAGCCUGUAUUUACAAGAAAGUGAGUGGGAGCUCUGUAGCAUUUCUGAUAUUAUAUGUGGAUGACAUAUUGCUGAUUGGAAAUGAUAUAGAAUUUCUGGAUAGCAUAAAGGGAUACUUGAAUAAGAGUUUUUCAAUGAAAGACCUCGGUGAAGCUGCUUACAUAUUAGGCAUAAAGAUCUAUAGAGAUAGAUCAAGACGCUUAAUUGGACUUUCACAAAGCACAUACCUUGACAAGAUUUUGAAGAAGUUCAAAAUGGAUCAAGCAAAGAAAGGGUUCUUACCUGUGUUACAACAUGUGAAGUUGAGUCAGACUCAAUGCCCGACCACUGCAGAAGAUAGAGAGAAAAUGAAAGAUGUUCCCUAUGCUUCAGCCAUAGGCUCUAUCAUGUAUGCAAUGCUGUGUACCAGACCUAAUGUGUGCCUUGCUAUAAGUUUAGCAGGGAGGUACCAAAGUAAUCCAGGAGUGGAUCACUGGACAGCGGCCAAGAACAUCCUGAAAUACCUGAAAAGGACUAAGGAUAUGUUUCUCGUAUAUGGAGGUGACAAAGAGCUCACCGUAAAAGGUUACAUUGAUGCAAGCUUUGACACUGAUCCGGACGAUUCUAAAUCGCAAACCGGAUACGUGUUCACAUUAAACGGUGGAGCUGUCAGUUGGUGCAGUUCUAAACAAAGCGUCGUAGCGGGAUCUACAUGUGAAGCAGAAUACAUAGCUGCUUCGGAAGCAGCAAACGAAGGAGUCUGGAUGAAGGAGUUCAUAUCCGAUCUAGGUGUCAUACCUAGUGCAUCGGGUCCAAUGAAAAUCUUUUGUGACAAUACUGGUGCAAUUGCCUUGGCAAAGGAAUCCAGAUUUCACAAGAGGACCAAGCACAUCAAGAGACGCUUCAAUUCCAUCCAGGUGGGAGACAUAGAGAUUUGCAAGAUACAUACGGAUCUGAAUAUUGCAGACCCGUUGACUAAGCCUCUUCCACGAGCAAAACAUGAUCAGCACCAAGGCUCCAUGGGUGUUAGAAUCAUUACUAUGUAAUAUAGAUUAUUGACUCUAGUGCAAGUGGGAGACUGAAGGAAAUAUGCCCUAGAGGCAAUAAUAAAGUUAUUAUUUAUUUCCUUAUAUCACGAUAAAUGUUUAUUAUUCAUUCUAGAAUUGUAUUAACCGGAAACAUAAUACAUGUGUGAAUACAUAGACAAACUUAAUGUCACUAGUAUGCCUCUACUUGACUAGCUCAUUAAUCAAAUAUGGUUAUGUUUCCUAACCAUGAACAAAGUGUUGUUAUUUGAUUAACGAGGUCACAUCAUUAGUUGAAUGAUCUGAUUGACAUGACCCAUUUCAUUAGCUUAGCACACGAUCGUUUAGUAUGUUGCUAUUGCUUUCUUCAUGACUUAUACAUGUUCCUAUGACUAUGAGAUUAUGCAACUCCCGUUUCCCGGAGGAACACUUUGUGUGCUACCAAACGUCACAACGUAACUGGGUGAUUAUAAAGGAGCUCUACAGGUGUCUCCAAAGGUAGAUGUUGGGUUGGCGUAUUUCAAGAUUAGGAUUUGUCACUCCGAUUGUCGGAGAGGUAUCUCUGGGCCCUCUCGGUAAUGCACAUCACAUAAGCCUUGCAAGCAUUGCAGCCAAUGAGUUAGUUGCGGGAUGAUGUAUUAUGGAACGAGCAAAGAGACUUGCCAGUAACGAGAUUGAACUAGGUAUUGGAUACCGACGAUCGAAUCUCGGGCAAGUAACAUACCGAUGACAAAGGGAACAACGUAUGUUGUUAUGCGGUCUGACCGAUAAAGAUCUUCGUAGAAUAUGUAGGAGCCAAUAUGGGCAUCCAGGUCCCGCUAUUGGUUAUUGACCGGAGAUGUGUCUCAGUCAUGUCUGCAUUAUUCUCGAACCGUAGGGUCCGCACGCUUAACGUUACGAUGACAGUUAUUAUGAGUUUAUGCAUUUUGAUGUACCGAAGUUAGUUCGGAGUCCCGGAUGUCAUCACGGACAUGACGAGGAGUCUCGAAAUGGUCGAGAAAUAAAGAUUGAUAUAUUGGAAGCCUAUAUUUGGACAUCGGAAGUGUUCCGGGUGAAAUCGGGAUUUUACCGGAGUACCGGGAGGUUACCGGAACCCCCCGGGAGCCAUAUGGGCCUUAAUGGGCUUUAGUGGAAAGGAGAAAGGGGCAGCCCAAGGUGGCCGCGCACCUCCCCCCUCCCCUAGUCCUAUUAGGACUAGGAGAGGUGGUCGGGCCCCCUCUCUCUCUUCCCCCCUCGGGGAAUCCUAGUCCAACUAGGAUUGGGGGGGGGAGUCCUACUCCCGGUAGGAGUAGGACUCCUCCUGCGCCCUCCUCCUGGCCGGCGGCCCCCUCCCCCUUGGCUCCUUUAUAUACGGAGGCAGGGGGCACCUCUAGGCACACAAGUUGAUCAUUGAGAUCAUUCCUUAGCCGUGUGCGGUGCCCCCUGCCACCAUAUUCCACCUCGAUCAUAUUGUAGCAGUGCUUAGGUGAAGCCCUGCGACGGUAGAACAUCAAGAUCGUCACCACGCCGUCGUGCUGACGGAACUCCUCCCCGACGCUUUGCUGGAUCGGAGCCCAGGGAUCGUCAUCGAGCUGUACGUGUGCUAAGAACUCGGAGGUGCCGGAGUAACGGUGCUUGGAUCGGUCGGAUCGGGAAGACGUACGACUACUUCCUCUACGUUGCGUCAACGCUUCCGCUGUUGUUCUACAAGGGUACGUAGAUCACACUCUCCCCUCUCGUUGCUAUGCAUCACCAUGAUCUUGCGUGUGCGUAGGAAAUUUUUUGAAAUUACUACGUUCCCCAACAGGAGGAGCCGUCUCCGGUUGUGUCACCUGGAUCCCAAGAUCCAAGGGGGUGUACCCGGACGGUGCCGUGAAGGAGAGGUGGGAGGAAUGGCGUGGCCGAUGGUGUUGGAUUGAAGAUGAAAACCCGCCGGAAUUCUGCAAGGUCUGCCGAGUGCCGCCGGUCCGCGGCAGCGAUUGGAGCGAUGUCGACGCCGCCGAUGGGAGGCUCACCGUCGCCACCACCAGGAUUCUCUGGCUCACCCAGGCCGGACUCACCCUUGAGAUGAUCGGGGCAGACUUCAUUCGCCGCCGGAUCGCCCCGUUGCACCGCAAGGGGAGGCCAGCUUGGCUCUUUACGAACCCGGCUGACAUUAUGCGACUCCGCCCCGGCCUCGAUCACAACUUCAUAGUGCUGGCGCAUGCCCACUUCUGCCAGCGACUUUUCCAGCUUGAUGUGUGUCGCGAUGGCGAGGUCGAGCGGACCGGCAAGGCCGCGAGGGCUGCCGCAAAGGUUUGCAAGGCCCUCAAGGGGCCAUUUUUCAAGCUGCCAGCGGGGGUGGUCCCGUUGUGCAACAAUUCGCAUCAUUCCGAGAUCAUCGCCAUGAUGCCGGACUGUAAUGUGCACGGCCAUGUCCCGAGCUGGGAGGAGCCGAAGGACGAGGAUGUGCAGCAAUUCUUCGACACCCUGAUCGAGGUGUACGUCAAUGCCGACGCCUGUGGCUUAUCAUGGACAACACCCAGGCGGAGCUGGACUACAUCGCCACUAGGGCGAGGGAGGCACAGCUUGCCAUGGAGGCCGGCAGCGCCGGGGGCGUGGAGGACAAGGCCGCAACGGCGGCGGAGGAAGAGGAGCUCACCCGGUGGGCGGCGGCCUCUGGGAGGUCAGCAGCGCCGACACUGGAUCUCCGCUCGUCGAAGAUGUGGCCGACGAGUCGUCGGGGGAGGAGGAGGAUGUGGCGGCGGGCUCGACGCCAACCAAGGGAAGAGGACGAGUCCCACGGCGGGCUGGCUCCGGUGAGCCGGUCCGGCCCGGCAGGGCUGCGCGGCCUCAAUUGACCCUGGAGGGGUCUGGGCGCCACACGAGGGCCACGGCAGCCAAGAGGCUGACGAAGGCCGCUGAGAAGAAGAAGACAACAGCCCCUUCCUCAUCCGGGCGCGCACAAACCCCGCCGCCUCCUUCGCCUCCUCCGACAGGCGUCGACUCGGAUGAUGAUGUGGAGCUCCCUUUUGAUCUCAGGCCUCUCAGCCUGGAGAGGAAAAGGAAACUGGUGGAAGAGGAGGAGACGGAUGAUGAGUAAGUUCUCUGUUCCUUACUGUCAUUUCCAUUUCCUCGAAUUGGGUCGCUUGUCUUGAUCCAUUUUUGCUUCCGUAGGGACACAUAGACGUUGGCCCAGACGGUGAAGAGGGCGAGGACCUCGGCGAGCAGCCAGCCCCCGGCUGGGGCUUCAAAGACACUACUGGUGGUGCUGAGCAGCCCGGACAGCAGCCCCGGCGCAGCCCCCAGCGUAAGUUCAUCACCCUCUUCUUACUCGACAUGUGGUAGGUGCUCGAUGCUAUGAUGCUGACCUUGCCGGGUUAGCAGGAGGGGAGUGGCUGCAGGAGGAGCCACAGAGGGCUACUCCUAACACACCACCCCCAUCGACUACGCCGCCGCGGGGGGCGUCCCCGGCAAGGGCACCAGGCACGGAGCCCACACCCAUGGAGGAAGAGGGGAACUUGGGCACUGGUGGCUCUGCCACGGUGCCAAAUGCUGGCGGAGAGGGGACUUCUGCUUCAGAGCCUGGCACUGGUGAGUCGCCUGUCCUUCGUCUCUGUUUUCCCUUAUCAUUUUCUUGGCUUCAUUGCUCCCGUUGCUGCCCAGGCCCUCCUUCAACAGGUAUGGAGGACAUGGAUACCGUUGCUGGGAACAUUGCUGAGGAGGCCGCCAAGGAUGCUGUCGAGGACACCGCGGCGGGGGCCGCCAAGGCGACCGGCGAGGCUUCUGCCGAGGGCGCCAGCGGUGGACCUGCCGGCGAGGUCGGCAAGGCCUCCGCCGAGGAAGAGGUGGUGGGUGACCAGCCUCCCUCCUCCUCAACCUCGGGCCCCGGCAGAUAUGUGAAGGUGGGUGACGAUCUCUUCGUCCACCUCCCAGGGGCGUCAAGCCGGGCGCCCACCAAAGGGGAAGUUUUCGAUGGCGAGGUGCUUGCCGCCACCGGGCUCGAGGUGGUUGAUGAGCCGGGCGUUGGUGGUGACGGUUCUCCAGAAGAGCAGCUUUUCCGUGCCAUGGGGGCCAAUUUCCGGAAGCUCCAAGUGCUCUACUGUGCUCGGCUGGACAAGGUCAAGUUCAGGAUGGCAACGGUGGACAACGCGGAGGUGGACUUCAAGGCGCGCGUUGCCGAGACGCAGACCUGGUUCCACCAGGCUCGCGAGGAGCAGAGGGCCUUUCAGGAGAAAUUGGCCGAGCGCGAUGUGGAGCUCACCAUGAAGAUGGCCGACAUCGAGAAGGCCUAGGAAAAGGCGGCGAACUUGGCUGCCGCGGCCGAGACCGCCCGGAACCAGCAUCAAGCCACCUUGGAUUCCCAGGAAGAGGACCUCACCGCGCGUGAGGCGAAGCUUGCUGCAAUGCUCCGUGGCAAGGAUGAGGAGCUCGAGGCCCUUGUCGCGCGGUGGACUCGCGAGCUGGAGUAGAGGCACAAGGAGGCACUCGAUGCCCAGGCUCUGGCCCAUGCCGGCAAGGUAAGGGAGUUGGAGGUGGCGCAGGACGAGCUGAAGGAGCAGGCCCUCAAGCUGUCCAACGAGAAGAGCACGCUCAACAGCGCCUUGGUGGAGGUGCAAGGAGUGGUCAUCAGCAGGGCUGGGAAGCUCUCCGAAGCACAAAACUCCGUCAGAGACCUCAAGCUGGAGCUGGAGGAUCUCGAGAAGAUGCUGUCGGAGAGCAGGACUCGGGAGGAGACCUUGACCAGGAGCCUGGAGGAGGAGAAGCAGCCGUGGGCGAACGAGGCCGCCACCCACCAGGAUUAUGUGGCGGGUGAGAACAGAUGGAUCAGCCAUCUGGUGGAGGUCGCCGGCAGGGUCACCUCGCAGUUGGCCACCAUGGGGAUGCCACACGUGAGGUACGCCCCUGAGCGCAGCGGGACCGUCAACACCAAGUUGACCCUGUUCUUCGAGGGCGUCCUCGGAGCCUUGGCUUAUCUUCACUCCAACAGGACGGCCACGCUGGCCGAGGAGGCCCGGCGACUUUGCCGAAGGGUCGUGACCAAGGUCCUCACCAAGAUGGCGUACUGUAAUCCUGAUCUUGACUUCGCGGCCGCGAUGAAGAGCUUGCCGGAUGGUUAGGCCUGGGCAUUCGGUAUAAACUGAAAAUUCGGUUUCUACCAUUCGGUUAUUUUGGAAAUUCGGUUAGCAAAGAUGAAAACCGAAAAAGACAUCCCAAAAUAGGAAACCGAAUAUUCGGUUAACCGAGAUUUUCGGUUUGGUAAUCGGUUUCUACCGUAUUAGCCAAUUAGCCAAUGUGCCAACGAAUCAGCUGUGAGGCUAUCUUCCAUUCCACCUGCGCUCUAUAUAUACACUAGCUAUCCAUCUCCAUGUGCGUGGCUGGCCGAGGUGGGACUAAACCACUAGCCCGCAGCGCCUCUCGUACGCACGUAUACAAAUUGACUACGUCGGGCACACACAGGAAAUGAGAUCCAGCUUGGGCCUUGCAUGCAGGUCGUCGCUCGCCGGCUUGGCCCAGUAUUUUGUUUUGUCGCGACUAAAGCACGCGCUCGAGGCCACCUGGCACGGGAACAGCUCGUUGUUGCACGCGUCGUAAUCUAUAUUCGGUUUUUCUGUUCGGUUACCGUGCUUAUACCGAACCGAAUGGAUCCAGUUCGGUUAGCAAAGAUACUAACCGAAUUUUUCUGUACUAACAUUAAAAACUGAAAUUUCGGUUUUUUCGGUUUCGGUUCGGUCUUCGGUUCGUCGGUUUUUAUGCCCACCCCUACUGAUGGUGCUGACCUCACGGUGCUCAAGGAGCGCAUCAAGCCCAUCACCGACUGCAUCGACGAAAUCAACAGGGUGGAAGGCCAGCGCCGGGAUUAGGCAUCCCGUUCUUCUUCGCCGCUGCGGGUUCCCAACCAAGACAAAUUUCAUCUUUAGUUAGAACCGCAACAAUGAUGUGAUGUAAUAUAACUUUGAAGUACUCUUAAUUUUCAUGCAUGUUAUUUCCCCAUUCGAUUCCUCUUUGUAUGCGUGCCCUACAUCGAUCGGGAAGGCUUGCCGCCGCGGAAGCCCCUAGCGGCGUUUUGGGGACGGAUCCCCAUGGCCAGCCGGGUACGCGUGCUACCGGACGAGCCACCUUUUCGUUCUGAACGCGGCCGCUCGAACUGUCGAGCUUGACUCGAGUCAGAAUCGGGGGCGUUGCUGAUCGCGGAAGGCCACUCUGCCAUUCUCGACGCAGCCGCUUGAGCUGUUGAGAGGACUCGAAACAGGGCAAGGGCGUUGCCGAUCGUGGUAGAGCCCCUGGCGUGCAGGUUUCUCAUACAAAGCGAAUAUCUCCGGGGGGGAUAACCUCAAAUAAGAAGGGUAGCACAAAUAAGGGUUCGGUGCAACUUAGCUUCUGUUUGCGAUCGCUCGAGUGUCGAUCUUCUGGCCUCCUUUCUUCUUCAAGGGUCACGAAGAUGAAGGAGUGCCAGGCUAACUGCCAGAGCCGAUUCUCACAACGGCGCCCCCUACCUGGCGCGCCAAAGAUGUCGGUGGGAACGACACCAAUGGGAUCACAAGAAUCCCUACUACGGUUGCGGGGCACGGGGUCGUGAGAAGAGCGGAUCAAACAGAUAGCACACGGUUCGUUUAUCCAGGUUCGGGCCGCGAGGACGCGUUAAAUGUAGGGGAACGUAGUAAUUUCAAAAAAAAAUCCUACGCACACGCAAGAUCAUGGUGAUGCAUAGCAAUGAGAGGGGAGAGUGUGAUCUACGUACCCUUGUAGACCGACAGCGGAAGCGUUAGCACAACGCGGUUGAUGUAGUCAUACGUCUUCACGGCCCGACCGAUCAAGCACCGAAAUUACGACACCUCCGAGUUCUAGCACAUGUUCAGCUCGAUGACGAUGCCCGGACUCCGAUCCAGCAAAGUGUCGGGGAAGAGUUCCGUCAGCACCACGGCGUGGUGACGAUCUUGAUGUACUACCGUCGCAGGGCUUCGCCUAAGCACCGCUACAAUAUUAUCGAGGGUUAUGGUGGAAGGGGGCACUGCACACGGCUAAGAAUAUGAUCAUGUGGAUCGACUUGUGUGUCUAGGGGUGCCCCCUGCCCCUGUAUAUAAAGGAUCAAGGGGAGGAGGCCGGCCGGCCCCUAUGGCGCGCCAAGGAGGAGUCCUCCUCCUAGUGGGAGUAGGACUCCUACUAGGAGGGGGAAAGAAGUGGGGAGGGAGAAGGAAGUGGGGAGGGAAAAGAAAGUGGGGAGGGGAGGAGGCGCGCGGCCCACCUUUGGCUGCCCCUCUCUCUCUCCACUAAGGCCCAUAUGGCCCAUUGCUUCUCCCGGGGGGUUCCGGUAACCCUCCGGCUCUCCGGCUUUCUCCUCGGAGAACCCGGAACACUUCCGGUGUCCGAAUAUAGCCAUCCAAUAUAUCAAUCUUUAUGUCUCGACCAUUUCGAGACUCCUCGUCAUGUCAGCGAUCACAUCUGGGACUCCAAACUAACUUCAGUACAUCAAAACUCAUAAACUCAUAAUAUAACUGUCAUCGAAACCUUAAGCGUGCGGAUCCUAUGGGUUCGAGAACAAUGUAGACAUGACCGAGACACGUCUCUGGUCAAUAACCAAUAGCGGAACCUGGAUGAUCAUAUUGGCUCCUACAUAUUCUAAGAAGAUCUUUAUCGGUGAGACCGCAUAACAACAUACAUUGUUCCCGUUGUCAUCGGUAUGUUACUUGCCCGAGAUUCGAUCGUCGGUAUCUCAAUACCUAGUUCAAUCUCGUUACCGGCAAGUCUCUUUACUCGUUUCUUAAUACAUCAUCUCGCAACUAACUCAUUAGUUGUAAUGCUUGCAAGGCUUAUGUGAUGUGCAUUACCGAGAGGGCCCAGAGAUACCUCUCCGACAAUCGGAGUGACAAAUCCUAAUCUCGAAAUACGCCAACCCAACAUUCAUCUUUGGAGACACCUGUAGAGCUCCUUUAUAAUCACCCAGUUACGUUGUGACGUUUGGUAGCGCACAAAGUGUUCCUCCAGUAAACGGGAGUUGCAUAAUCUCAUAGUCAUAGGAACAUGUAUAAGUCAUGAAGAAAGCAAUAGCAACAUACUAAAUGAUCGGGUGCUAAGAUAAUGGAAUGGGUCAUGUCAAUCACAUCAUUCUCCUAAUGAUGUGAUCCCAUCAAUCAAAUGACAACACAUGUCUAUGGUUAGGAAACAUAACCAUCUUCGAUUAAUGAGCUAGUCAAGUAGAGGCAUACUAGUGACACUUUGUUUGUCUAUGUAUUAACACAUGUAUUAUGUUUCCGGUUAAUACAGUUCUAGCAUGAAUAAUAAACAUUUAUCAUGAAAUAAGGAAAUAAAUAAUAACUUUAUUAUUGCCUCUAGGGCAUAUUUCCUUCAGUCUCCCACUUGCACUAGAGUCAGUAAUCUAGAUUACACAGUAAUGAUUCUAACACCCAUGGAGCUUUGGUGUUGAUCAUGUUUUGCUCGUGGAAGAGGCUUAGUCAACGGGUCUGCAACAUUCAGAUCCGUAUGUAUCUUGCAAAUCUCUAUGUCUCCCACCUGGACUAGAUCCCGGAUGGAGUUGAAGCGUCUCUUGAUGUGCUUGGUGUUCUUGUGAAAUCUGGAUUCCUUUGCCAAGGCAAUUGCACCAGUAUUAUCACAAAAGAUUUUCAUUGGACCCGAUGCACUAGGUAUGACACCUAGAUCGGAUAUGAACUCCUUCAUCAAAACUCCUUCGUUUGCUGCUUCCGGAGCAGCUAUGUACUCCGCUUCACAUGUAGAUCCCGCCACAACACUUUGUUUAGAACUGCACCAACUGACAGCUCCACCGUUUAAUGUAAACACGUAUCCGGUUUGCGAUUUAGAAUCGUCCGGAUCAGUGUCAAAGCUUGCAUCAACGUAACCAUUUGCGAUGAGCUCUUUUUCACCUCCAUAUAUGAGAAACAAAUCCUUAGUCCUUUUCAGGUAUUUCAGGAUGUUCUUGACCGCUGUCCAGUGAUCCACUCCUGGAUUACUUUGGUGCCUCCCUGCUAGACUUAUAGCAAGACACACAUCAGGUCUGGUACACAGCAUUGCAUACAUGAUAGAGCCUAUGGCUGAAGCAUAGGGAACAUCUUUCAUUUUCUCUCUAUCUUCUGCAUUGGUCGGACUUUGAGUCUUACUCAAUUUAACACCUUGUAACACAGGCAAGAAUCCUUUCUUUGCUUGAUCCAUUUUGAACUUUUUCAAAACUUUCUCAAGGUAUGUGCUUUGUGAAAGUCCAAUUAAGCAUCUCAAUUUGUCUCUAUAGAUCUUGAUGCCCAAUAUGUAGGCAGCUUCACCGAGGUCUUUCACCGAAAAACUUCUAUUCAAGUAUCCCUUUAUGCUAUUCAUAAAUUCUAUAUCAUUUCCGAUUAGUAAUAUGUCAUCUACAUAUAAUAUCAGAAAUGCUACAGAGCUCCCACUCACUUUCUUGUAAAUACAGGCUUCUCCAAAAGUCUGUAUAAAACCAAAUGCUUUGAUCACACUAUCAAAGCGUUUAUUCCAACUCCGAGAGGCUUGCACCAGUCCAUAAAUGGAUCGCUGGAGCUUGCACACUUUGUUAGCUCCCUUUGGAUCGACAAAACCUUCUGGCUGCAUCAUAUACAACUCUUCUUGCAGAAAUCCAUUCAGGAAUGCAGUUUUGACAUCCAUUUGCCAAAUUUCAUAAUCAUAAAAUGCGACAAUUGCUAACAUGAUUCGGACAGACUUAAGCAUCGCUACGGGUGAGAAGGUCUCAUCGUAGUCAAUCCCUUGAACUUGCCGAAAACCUUUUGUGACAAGUCGAGCUUUGUAGACAGUAACAUUACCGUCAGCGUCAGUCUUCUUCUUGAAGAUCCAUUUAUUCUCAAUUGCUUGCCGAUCAUUGGGCAAGUCAACCAAAGUCCAUACUUUGUUCUCAUACAUGGAUCCCAUCUCAGAUUUCAUGGCUUCAAGCCAUUUUGCGGAAUCUGGGCUCAUCAUCGCUUCUUCAUAGUUCGUAGGUUCAUCAUGAUCUAGUAGCAUGACUUCCAGAACAGGAUUACUGUACCACUCUGGCGUGGAUCUUACUCUGGUUGAUCUACGAGGUUCAGUAGUAUCUUGUUCUAAAGUUUCAUGAUCAUUAUCAUUAGCUUCCUCACUAAUUGGUGUAGGUGUCACAGAAACUGGUUUUUGUGAUGUACUACUUUCCAAUAAGGGAGCAGGUACAGUUACCUCGUCAAGUUCUACUUUCCUCCCACUCACUUCUUUCGAGAGAAACUUCUUCUCUAGAAAGUUUCCGAAUUUAGCAACAAAAGCUCUGCCUUCGGAUCUGUGAUAGAAGGUGUAUCCAAUAGUUUCCUUUGGAUAUCCUAUGAAGACACAAUUCUCUGAUUUGGGUUCGAGCUUAUCAGGUUGAUGCUUUUUCACAUAAGCAUCGCAACCCCAAACUUUCAGAAAUGACAACUUUGGUUUCUUGCCAAACCACAGUUCAUAAGGCGUCGUCUCAACGGAUUUUGAUGGUGCCCUAUUUAACGUGAAUGCGGCCGUCUCUAGAGCAUAUCCCCAAAAUGCUAGCGGUAAAUCAGUAAGAGACAUCAUAGAUCGCACCAUAUCUAGUAAAGUACGAUUACGACGUUCGGACACACCAUUACGCUGUGGUGUUCCGGGUGGCGUGAGUUGUGAAACUAUUCCACAUUGUUUCAAAUAUACACCAAACUCGUAACUCAAAUAUUCUCCUCCACGAUCAGAUUGUAGGAAUUUUAUUUUCUUGUUACGAUGAUUUUCAACUUCACUCUGAAAUUCUUUGAACUUUUCAAACGUUUCAGACUUAUGUUUCAUUAAGUAGAUAUACCCAUAUCUGCUCAAGUCAUCUGUGAAGGUGAGAAAAUAACGAUAUCCGCCACGAGCCUCAAUAUUCAUUGGACCACAUACAUCUGUAUGUAUGAUUUCCAACAAAUCCGUUGCUCUCUCCAUAGUACCGGAGAACGGUGUUUUUGUCAUCUUACCUAUAAGGCACGGUUCGCAAGUACCAAGUGAUUCAUAAUCAAGUGGUUCCAAAAGCCCAUCAGUAUGGAGUUUCUUCAUGCGCUUUACACCGAUAUGACCCAAAUGGAAGUGCCACAAAUAAGUUUCACUAUCAUUAUCAACUCUGCAUCUUUUGGUUUCAACAUUAUUAAUAUGUGUGUCACUACUAUAAAGAUUUAAUAAGAAUAGACCACUCUUUAAGGGUGCAUGACCAUAAAAGAUAUUACUCAUAUAAAUAGAACAACCAUUAUUCUCUGAUUUAAAUGAAUAACCGUCUCGCAUCAAACAAGAUCUAGAUAUAAUGUUCAUGCUUAACGCUGGCACCAAAUAACAAUUAUUUAGGUCUAAUACUAAUCCCGAAGGUAGAUGUAGAGGUAGCGUGCCGACUGCGAUCACAUCGACUUUGGAACCAUUUCCCACGCGCAUCGUCACCUCGUCCUUAGCCAAUCUUCGCUUAAUCAGUAGUCCCUGUUUCGAGUUGCAAAUGUUAGCAACUGAACCAGUAUCAAAUACCCAGGUGAUACUGCGAGCAUUAGUAAGGUACACAUCAAUGACACGUAUAUCACAUAUACCUUUGUUCACCUUGCCAUCCUUCUUAUCCGCCAAAUACUUGGGGCAGUUCCGCUUCCAGUGACCAGUCUGCUUGCAGUAGAAGCACUCAGUUUCAGGCUUAGGUCCAGAUUUGGGCUUCUUCUCUUGAGUAGCAACUUGCUUGCUGUUCUUUUUGAAGUUCCCCUUCUUCUUCCCUUUGCCAUUUUUCUUAAAACUAGUGGUCUUGUUGACCAUCAACACUUGAUGCUCCUUCUUGAUUUCUACCUCCGCAGCUUUCAGCAUUGCAAAGAGCUCGGGAAUAGUCUUAUUCAUCCCUUGCAUAUUAUAGUUCAUCACGAAGCUCUUGUUGUUGGAAAUAUGCCCUAGAGGCAAUAAUAAAAGCAUUAUUAUUAUAUUUCCUUGUUCAUGAUAAUUGUCUUUUAUUCAUGCUAUAAUUGUGUUAUCCGGAAAUCGUAAUACAUGUGUGAAUAAUAGACACCAACAUGUCCCUAGUAAGCCUCUAGUUGACUCGCUCGUUGAUCAACAGAUAGUCAUGGUUUCCUGACUAUGGACAUUGGAUGUCAUUGAUAACGAGAUCACAUCAUUAGGAGAAUGAUGUGAUGGACAAGACCCAAUCCUAAACAUAGCACAAGAUCGUAUAGUUCGUUUGCUAGAGUUUUCCAAUGUCAAGUAUCCUUUCCUUAGACCAUGAGAUCGUGUAACUCCCGGAUACCGUAGGAGUGCUUUGGGUGUACCAAACGUCACAACGUAACUGGGUGACCAUAAAGGUAUACUACGGGUAUCUUCGAAAGUGUCUGUUGGGUUGACACGGAUCAAGACUGGGAUUUGUCACUCCGUAUGACGGAGAGGUAUCACUGGGCCCACUCAGUAAUGCAUCAUCAUUAUGAGAUCAAAGUGACCAAGUGUCUGGUCACGGGAUCAUGCAUUACGGUACGAGUAAACUGACUUGCCGGUAACGAGAUUGAACGAGGUAUUGGGAUACCGACGAUCGAAUCUCGGGCAAGUAACGUACCGAUUGACAAAGGGAAUUGUAUACGGUGUUGCUUGAAUCCUCGACAUCGUGGUUCAUCCAAUGAGAUCAUCGAGGAGCAUGUGGGAGCCAACAUGGGUAUCCAGAUCCCGCUGUUGGUUAUUGACCGGAGAGCAAUCUCGGUCAUGUCUACAUGUCUCCCGAACCCGUAGGGUCUACACACUUAAGGUUCGGUGAUGCUAGGGUUGUAGGGAUAUGUAUAUGCAGUAACCUGAAUGUUGUUCGGAGUCCCGGAUGACAUGCCGGACGUCACGAGGAGUUCCGGAAUGGUCCGGAGGUAAAGUAUUAUAUAUAGGAAGUGCUAUUUCGGCUAUCGGGACAAGUUUCGGGGUCACCGGUAUUGUACCGGGACCACCGGAAGGGUCCCGGGGGUCCACCGGGUGGGGCCACCUAUCCCGGAGGGCCCCAUGGGCUGAAGUGGGAAGGGAUCCAGCCCAAAGUGGGCUGGGGCGCCACUUCCCCUAGGGCCCAUGCGCCUGGGGUGGGGAAACCCUAAAGGGGGGCGCCCCCUUGCUUGAGGGGCAAGCCCCCCACCCCUUGGCUGCCGCCCCCUAGGAGAUUGCAUCUCCUAGGGCCGGCGCCCCCCUAGGCCCCCUAUAUAUGGUGGGGGGGAGGGAGGGCCUCUCACCUACGCCAUUGGUGCCUCCCUCUCCCUCUCCAACACCUCCUCCUUCUCCAUAGAGCUUGGCGAAGCCUUGCCGGAGUACUGCAGCUCCAUCACCACCACGCCGUCGUGCUGCUGCUAGAGCCAUCUUCCUCAACCUCUCCUUCCCCCUUGCUGGAUCAAGGAGGAGACGUUACGCUGACCGUACGUGUGUUGAACGCGGAGGUGCCGUCCGUUCGGCGCUAGGAUCUCCGGUGAUUUGGAUCACAUCGAGUACGACUCCCUCAUCCCCGUUCUUUGAACGCUUCCGCUCGCGAUAUACAAGGUACGUAGAUGCGUCCAACCACCCGUUGCUAGAUGAACUCAUAGAUGGAUCUUGGUGAAACCGUAGGAAAAUUUUUGUUUUCUACAACGUUCCCCAACAGUGGCAUCAUGAGCCAGGUUUAUGCGUAGUUCUCUAUGCACGAGUAGAACACAAUUUGUUGUGGGCGUUGAUGUUGUCAACUUUCUUGCCGCUACUAGUCUUAUCUUGUUUCAACGGUAUUGUGGGAUGAAGCGGCCCGGACCAACCUUACACGUACGCUUACGUGAGACCGGUUCCACCGACUGGCAUGCACUAGUUGCAUAAGGUGGCUGGCGGGUGUCUGUCUCUCCCACUUUAGUUGGAGCGGAUUCGAUGAAAAGGGUCCUUAUGAAGGGUAAAUAGAAGUUGACAAAUCACGUUGUGGCUUUCACGUAGGUAAGAAAACGUUCUUGCUAGAACCCUCUUGCAGCCACGUAAAACUUGCAACAACAAUUAGAGGACGUCUAACUUGUUUUUGCAGCAAGUGCUUUGUGAUAUGAUAUAUAUGGCCAAAGUUGUGAUGAAUGAUGAAUGAUAUAUAUGUGAUGUAUGAGAUGUUCAUGCUAUUGUAAUAGGAAUCACGACUUGCAUGUCGAUGAGUAUGACAACCGGCAGGAGCCAUAGGAGUUGUCUUUAUUUUGUAUGACCUGCGAGUCAUUGAGAAACGCCAUGUAAAUUACUUUACUUUAUUGCUAAACGUGUUAGCCAUAGUAGUAGAAGUAAUAGUUGGCGAGCAACUUCAUGGAGACACGAUGAUGGAGAUCAUGAUGAUGGAGAUCAUGGUGUCAUGCCGGUGACAAGAUGAUCAUGGAGCCCCAAGAUGGAGAUCAAAGGAGCUAUGUGAUAUUGGCCAUAUCAUGUCACUAUUAUUAUUUGAUUGCAUGUGAUGUUUAUCAUGUUUUUGCAUCUUGUUUACUUAGAACGACGGUAGUAAAUAAGAUGAUCCCUCAUAAUAAUUUCAAGAAAGUGUCCCCCCUAACUGUGCACCGUUGCGACAGUUCGUUGUUUCAAAGCACCACGUGAUGAUCGAGUGUGAUAGAUUCUAACGAUCACAUACAACGGGUGUAAGACAGAUUUACACAUGCAAACACUUAGGUUGACUUGACGAGCCUAGCAUGUACAGACAUGGCCUCGGAACACAGAAGACCGAAAGGUCGAGCAUGAGUCGUAUAGAAGAUAUGAUCAACAUGAAGAUGUUCGCCGAUGUUGACUAGUCCGUCUCACGUGAUGAUCGGACACGGCCUAGUUAACUCGGAUCAUGUUAUACUUAGAUGACUGGAGGGAUGUCUAUCUAAGUGAGAGUUCAUUUGAUUAGAUGAACUUAAUUAUCAUGAACUUAGUCUAAAAUAUUUACAAUAUGUCUUGUAGAUCAAAUGGCCAACGUAGUCCUCAACUUCAACGCAUUCCUAGAGAAAACCAAGCUGAAAGACGAUGGCAGCAACUACACGGACUGGGUCCGGAACCUGAGGAUCAUCCUCAUAGCUGCCAAGAAAGAUUAUGUCCUACAAGCACCGCUAGGUGACGCACCUAUUCUCCCUGCAGAACAAGAUGUUAUGAACGCUUGACAGGCAUGUACCGAUGACUACUCCCUCGUUCAGUGCGGCAUGCUUUACAGCUUAGAGCCGGGACUCCAAAAAUGUUUUGAGAGACACGGAGCAUAUGAGAUGUUUGAAGAGCUGAAAAUGGUUUUCCAAGCUCAUGCCCGGGUCGAGAGAUAUCAAGUCUCCGACAAGUUCUUCAGCUGUAAGAUGGAGGAAAACAGUUCUGUCAGUGAGCACAUACUCACUAUGUCUGGGUUGCAUAACCGCUUGACUCAGCUGGGAGUUAAUCCCCCGGAUGACGCGGUCAUUGACAGAAUCCUUCAGUCGCUUCCACCGAGCUACAAGAGCUUUGUGAUGAACUUCAAUAUGCAGGGGAUGGAAAAGACCAUUCCUGAAGUAUUUGCUAUGCUGAAAUCAGCAGAGGUAGAAGUCAAAAAGGAACAUCAAGUGUUGAUGGUGAAUAAAACCACUAAGUUCAACAAGGGCAAGGGUAAGAAGAACUUCAAGAAGGACGGCAAGGGAGUUGCCGUGCCCAGCAAGCAAGCUGCCGGGAAGAAGCCAAAGAAUGGACCCAAGCCCGAGACUGAGUGUUUUUAUUGCAAGGGAAGUGGUCACUAGAAGCGGAACUGCCCCAAAUACUUAGUGGACAAGAAGGCCGGCAUCACAAAAGGUAUAUGUGAUAUACAUGUAAUUGAUGUGUACCUUACCAGUACUCGUAGUAGCUCUUCGGUAUUUGAUACCGGUGUAGUUGCUCACAUUUGUAACUCAAAGCAGGAGCUGCGGAAUAAGCGGAGACUGGCGAAGGACGAGGUGACGAUGCGCGUCGGGAAUGGUUCCAAGGUCGAUGUGAUCACCGUCGGCACGCUACCUCUACAUUUACCUACGGGAUUAGUUCUAAACCUCAAUAAUUGUUAUUUAGUGCCAGCUUUGAGCAUGAACAUUGUAUCGGGAUCUCGUUUAAUACGAGAUGGCUAUUCAUUUAAAUCCGAGAAUAAUGGUUGUUCUAUUUAUAUGAGAGAUAUGUUUUAUGGUCAUGCUCCGAUGGUGAAUGGUUUAUUCUUAAUGAAUCUCGAGCGUAAUGUACACAUAUUCAUAGUGUGAGUACCAAAAGAUGUAAGGUUGAUAAUGAUAGUCCCACAUACUUGUGGCACUGCCGCCUUGGUCACAUAGGUGUCAAACGCAUGAAGAAGCUCCAUGCAGAUGGACUUUUAGAGUCUCUUGAUUACGAAUCAUUUGACACGUGCGAACCAUGCCUCAUGGGUAAAAUGACCAAGACUCCGUUCUCAGGAACAAUGGAGCGAGCAACCAACUUAUUGGAAAUCAUACAUACUGAUGUGUGCGGUCCAAUGAGUGUUGAGGCUCGCGGUGGCUAUCGUUAUGUUCUCACCCUCACUGAUGACUUGAGUAGAUAUGGGUAUAUCUAUUUAAUGAAACACAAGUCUGAGACCUUUGAAAAGUUCAAGGAAUUUCAGAGUGAGGAUGAAAAUCAACGUGACAGGAAAAUCAAGUUCCUAUGAUCAGAUCGUGGAGGAGAAUACUUGAGUCACGAAUUUGGCACACACUUAAGAAAACGUGGAAUAGUUUCACAACUCACGCCGCCUGGAACACCUCAGCGUAAUGGUGUGUCCGAACAUCAUAAUCGCACUCUAUUAGAUAUGGUGCGAUCUAUGAUGUCUCUUACCGGUUUACCGCUAUCUUUUUGGGGCUAUGCUUUAGAGACUGCCGCAUUCACUUUAAAUAGGGCUCCGUCGAAAUCCGUUGAGACGACACCGUAUGAAUUAUGGUUUGGGAAGAAACCUAAGCUGUCGUUUCUAAAAGUUUUGGGAUGCGAUGCUUAUGUCAAGAAACUUCAACCUGAAAAGCUCGAACCCAAGUCGGAAGAAUGCGUCUUCAUAGGAUACCCUAAAGAAAUUAUUGGGUAUACCUUCUACCUCAGAUCCGAAGGCAAGAUCUUUGUUGCCAAGAAUGGAUCCUUUCUAGAGAAAGAGUUCCUCUCGAAAGAAGUAAGUGGGAGGAAAGUAGAACUUGAUGAAGUAUUACCUCUUGAACCGGAAAAGGGCGCAACUCAAGAAAAUGUUCCUGAGGUGCCUGCACCGACUAGAGAGGAAGUUAAUGAUGAUGAUCAAGAUACUUCUGAUCAAGCUCCUACUGAAAUUCGUAGGUCCACAAGGACACGUUCCGCACCAGAGUGGUACGGCAACCCUGUCUUGGAAAUCAUGUUGUUAGACAACGGUGAACCUUCGAACUAUGAAGAAGCGAUGGCGAGCCCGGAUUCCGACAAAUGGCUGGAAGCCAUGAAAUCCGAGAUAGGAUCCAUGUAUGAAAACGAAGUAUGUACUUUGACUGACUUGACCGUUGAGCGGCGAGCCAUAGAAAAUAAAUGGAUCUUUAAGAAGAAGACAGACGCGGAUGGUAAUGUGACCAUCUAUAAAGCUCGGCUUGUCGCUAAGGGUUAUCGACAAGUUCAAGGGGUUGACUACGAUGAGACUUCUCACCGGUAGCGAAGCUAAAGUCCAUCCGAAUCAUGUUAGCAAUUGCCGCAUUCUACGAUUAUGAGAUAUGGCAAAUGGACGUCAAAACGGCAUUCCUUAAUGGUUUCCUUAAGGAAGAAUUGUAUAUGAUGCAGCCGGAAGGUUUUGUCGAUCCUAAGAAUGCUAACAAGGUUUGCAAGCUCCAACGCUCGAUUUAUGGGCUGGUGCAAGCAUCUCGGAGUUGGAAUAUUCGCUUUGAUGAGAUGAUCAAGGCGUUUGGGUUUACGCAGACUUAUGGAGAAGCCUGCGUUUACAAGAAAGUGAGUGGGAGCUCUGUAGCAUUUGUCAUAUUAUAUGUAGAUGACAUACUUUUGAUGGGAAAUGAUAUAGAACUCUUGGACAGCAUUAAGGCCUACUUGAAUAAGAGUUUUUCAAUGAAGGACCUUGGAGAAGCUGCUUAUAUAUUAGGCAUCAAGAUAUAUAGAGAUAGAUCAAGACGCCUCAUAGGUCUUUCACAAAGCACAUACCUUGAUAAGAUAUUGAAGAAGUUCAAUAUGGAUCAGUCUAAGAAGGGGUUCUUGCCUGUGUUGCAAGGUGUGAAAUUGAGCUCAGCUCAAUGUCCGACCAUGGCAGAAGAUAUAGAAGAGAUGAGUGUCAUCCCCUAUGCCUCAGCCAUAGGUUCUAUUAUGUAUGCCAUGCUGUGUACCAGACGUGAUGUAAACCUUGCCGUAAGUUUGGUAGGAAGGUACCAAAGUAAUCCCGGCAAGGAACACUGGACAGCGGUCAAGAAUAUCUUGAAUUACCUGAAAAGGACUAAGGAGAUGUUUCUCAUCUAUGGAGGUGACGAAGAGCUCGUCAUAAAGGGUUACAUCGACGCUAGCUUCGACACAAAUCUGGAUGACUCUAAGUCACAAAGCGGAUACGUGUAUAUUUUGAAUGGUGGGGCAGUAAGCUGGUGCAGUUGCAAGCAGAGCGUCGUGGCGGGAUCUACAUGUGAAGCGGAGUACAUGGCAGCCUCGGAGGCAGCACAUGAAGCAAUUUGGGUGAAGGAGUUCAUCACCGACCUAGGAGUCAUACCCAAUGCAUCGGGGCCGAUCAAACUCUUCUGUGACAACACUGGAGCUAUUGCACUUGCCAAGGAGCCCAGGUUUCACAAGAAGACCAGGCACAUCAAGCGUCGCUUCAACUCCAUUCGUGAAAAUGUUCAAGAUGGAGACAUAGAUAUUUGUAAAGUACAUACGGACCUGAAUGUAGCAGAUCCGUUGACUAAACCUCUCCCUAGAGAAAAACAUGAUCAACACCAUAAUUCCAUGGGUGUUCGAUUCAUCACAAUGUAACUAGAUUAUUGACUCUAGUGCAAGUGGGAGACUGUUGGAAAUAUGCCCUAGAGGCAAUAAUAAAAGCAUUAUUAUUAUAUUUCCUUGUUCAUGAUAAUUAUCUUUUAUUCAUGCUAUAAUUGUGUUAUCCUGAAAUCUUAAUACAUGUGUGAAUAAUAGACACCAACAUGUCCCUAGUAAGCCUCUAGUUGACUUGCUCGUUGAUCAACAGAUAGUCAUGGUUUCCUAACUAUGGACAUUGGAUGUCAUUGAUAACGAGAUCACAUCAUUAGGAGAAUGAUGUGAUGGACAAGACCCAAUCCUAAACAUAGCACAAGAUCGUAUAGUUCGUUUGCUAGAGUUUUCCAAUGUCAAGUAUCCUUUCCUUAGACCAUGAGAUCGUGUAACUCCCGGAUGCCGUAGGAGUGCUUUGGGUGUACCAAACAUCACAACGUAACUGGGUGACCAUAAAGGUAUACUACGGGUAUCUCCGAAAGUGUCUGUUGGGUUGACACGGAUCAAGACUGGGAUUUGUCACUCCGUAUGACGGAGAGGUAUCACUGGGCCCACUCGGUAAUGCAUCAUCAUUAUGAGGUCAAAGUGGCCAAGUGUCUGGUCACGGGAUCAUGCAUUACGGUACGAGUAAAGUGAGUUGCCAGUAACGAGAUUGAAUGAGGUAUUGGGAUACCGACGAUCGAAUCUCGGGCAAGUAACGUACCGAUUGACAAAGGGAAUUGUAUACGGGGUUGCUUGAAUCCUCGACAUCGCGGUUCAUCCGAUGAGAUCAUCGAGGAGCAUGUGGGAGCCAACAUGGGUAUCCAGAUCCCGGUGUUGGUUAUUGACCGGAGAGCAAUCUCGGUCAUGUCUACAUGUCUCCCAAACCCGUAGGGUCUACACACUUAAGGUUCGGUGACGCUAGGGUUGUAGGGAUAUGUAUGUGCAGUAACCCGAAUGUUGUUCGGAGUCCCGGAUGAGAUCCCGGACGUCACGAGGAGUUCCGGAAUGGUCCGGAGGUAAAGUAUUAUAUAUAGGAAGUGCUAUUUCGGCUAUCGGGACAAGUUUCGGGGUCACCGGUAUUGUACCGGGACCAUCGAAAGGGUCCCGGGGGUCCACCAGGUGGGGCCACCUAUCUCGGAGGGCCCCAUGGGCUGAACUGGGAAGGGAUCCAGCCCAAAGUGGGCUGGGGCGCCACUUCCCCUAGGGCCCAUGCGCCUGGGGUGGGGAAACCCUAAAGGGGGGCGCCCCCUUGCUUGGGGGGCAAGCCCCCCACCCCUUGGCCGCCGCCCCCCCUAGGAGAUUGCAUCUCCUAGGGCCGCCGCCCCCCCUAGUCCCCCUAUAUAUAGUGGGGGGGAGGGAGGGCCUCUCACCUACGCUAUUGGUGCCUCCCUCUCCCUCUCCAACACCUCCUCCUUCUCCAUAGAGCUUGGCGAAGCCCUGCCGGAGUAUUGCAGCUCCAUCACCACCACGCCGUCGUGCUGCUGCUGGAGCCAUCUUCCUCAACCUAUCCUUCCCCCUUGCUGGAUCAAGAAGGAGGAGGCGUUACGCUGACCGUACGUGUGUUGAACGCGGAGGUGCCGUCCGUUCGGCGCUAGGAUCUCCGGUGAUUUGGAUCACGUCGAGUAUGACUCCCUCAUCCCCGUUCUUUGAACGCUUCCGCUCGCGAUCUACAAGGUACGUAGAUGCAUCCAACCACUCGUUGCUAGAUGAACUCAUAGAUGGAUCUUGGUGAAACCGUAGGAAUUUUUUUGUUUUGUGCAACGUUCCCCAACACUUGUAGCUUGGUGGCAGUGAUUGGAGAAUUCUGUCAAUGAUGCAAUCAUCUGGAAGAUUAACUCCCAAUUGAAUCAAGUGAUUAUUAUACCCAGACAUUUUGAGUAUAUGCUCACUGACAGAACUGUUCUCCUCCAUCUUGCAGCUAUAGAACUUAUUAGAGACUUCAUAUCUCUCAAUCCGGGCAUUUGCUUGAAAUAUUAACUUCAACUUCUGGAACAUCUCAUAUGUUCCAUGACGUUCAAAACAUCGUUGAAGUCCCGAUUCUAAGACGUAAAGCAUGGCACGCUGAGCUAUUGAGUACUCAUUAGCUUUGCUCUGCCAGACGUUCAUAACAUCUGGUGUUGCUCCAGCAGCAGACCUGGCACCCAGCGGUGCUUCCAGGACGUAAUUCUUCUAUGCAGCAAUGAGGAUAAUCCUCAAGUUACGGACCCAGUCCGUGUAAUUGCUACCAUCAUCUUUCAACUUUGCUUUCUCAAGGAACGCAUUAAAAUUCAACGGAACAAUAGCACGGGCCAUCUAUCUACAAUCAAACAUAAACAAGCAACAUACUAUCAGGUACUAAGUUCAUGAUAAAUUUAGAUUCAAUUAAUCAUAUUACUAAAGAACUCCCACUUAGGUAGACAUCCCUCUAAUCCUCGAAGUGAUUACGUGAUCCAAAUCAACUAAACCAUGUCCGAUCAUCACGUGAGAUGGAGUAAUUUCAUUGGUGAACAUCGCUAUGUUGAUCAUAUCUACUAUAUGAUUCACGCUCGACCUUUCGUUCUCUGUGUUCCGAGGCCAUAUCUGUAUAUGCUUGGCUCGUCAAGUAUAACCUGAGUAUUCUGCGUGUGCAACUAUUUUGCACCCGUUGUAUUUGAACAUAGAGCCUAUCACACCCGAUUAUCACGUGGUGUCUCAGCACGAAGAACUUUUGCAAUGGUGCAUACUCAGGGAGAACACUUCUUUAUAAUUAGUGAGAGAUCAUCUUAAAAUGCUAUCAUCAAUCAAAGCAAGAUAAGAUGCAUAAAAGAUAAACAUCACAUGCAAUCAAUAUAAGUGAUAUGAUAUGGCCAUCAUCAUCUUGUGCUUGUGAUCUCCAUCUUCGAAGCACCGUCGUGAUCACCAUCGCCACCGGCGCGACACCUUGAUCACCAUCGUAGCAUCGUUGUCUUCUCGCCAAUCUUAUGCUUCCACGACUAUCACUACCGCUUAGUGAUAAAGUAAAGCAUUACAGCACAAUUGCAUUGCAUACAACAAAGCGACAACCAUAUGGCUCCUGCCGGUUGCCGAUAACUUGGUUACAAAACAUGAUCAUCUCAUACAAUAAAAUUUAGCAUCAUGUCUUAACCAUGUCACAUCACAACAUGCCCUGCAAAAAUAAGUUAGACGUCCUCUACUUUGUUGUUGCAAGUUUUACGUGGCUGCUACGGGCUUAAGCAAGAACCAAUCUUACCUACGCAUCAAAACCACAACGAUAGUUUGUCAAGUUGGUGUUGUUUUAACCUUCGCAAGGACUGGGCGUAGCCACACUCGGUUCAACUAAAGUUGGAGAAACUGUCACCCGCUAGCCACCUUUGUGCAAAGCAUGUCGGGAGAACCGGUCUCGCAUAAGCGUACACAUAAUGUCGGUCCAGGCCGCUUCGUCCAACAAUACCGCCGAACCAAAGUAUGACAUGCUGGUAAGCAGUAUGACUUAUAUCGCCCACAACUCACUUGUGUUCUACUCGUGCAUAUAACAUCAACACAUAAAACCUAGGCUCGGAUGCCACUGUAGGGGAACGUAGUAAUUUCAAAAAAAAUUCCUACGCACACGCAAGAUCAUGGUGAUGCAUAGCAACGAGAGGGGAGAGUGUGAUCUACGUACCCUUGUAGACCGACAGCGGAAGCGUUAGCACAACGCGGUUGAUGUAGUCGUACGUCUUCACGGCCCGACCGAUCAAGCACCGAAACUACGGCACCUCCGAGUUCUAGCACACGUUCAGCUCGAUGACUAUCCCCGGACUCCGAUCCAGCAAAGUGUCGGGGAAGAGUUCCGUCAGCAUGACGGCGUGGUGACGAUCUUGAUGUACUACCGUCGCAGGGCUUCGCCUAAGCACCGCUACAAUAUUAUCGAGGAUUAUGGUGGAAGGGGGCACCGCACACGGCUAAGUAUAUGAUCACGUGGAUCAACUUGUGUGUCAAGGGGUGCCCCUUGCCCCCGUAUAUAAACGAUCAAGGGGAGGAGGCCGGCCGGCCCCUAUGGCGCACCAAGGAGGAGUCCUCCUCCUAGUAUGAGUAGGACUCCUACUAUGAGGGGAAAAGAAGUGGGGAGGGAGAAGGAAAGGGGGGGCGCCCCCCCUCUCCUAGUCCAAUUCGGACCAGGGGGGAGGAGGCGCGCGGCCCACCUUUGGCUGCCCCUCUCUCUCUCCACUAAGGCCCAUAUGGCCCAUUGCUUCUCCCGGGGGGGUUCCGGUAACCCUCCGGCUCUCUGAUUUUCUCCGAAAUCACCCGGAACACUUCCGGUGUCUGAAUAUAGCCGUCCAAUAUAUCAAUCUUUAUGUCUCGACCAUUUCGAGACUCCUCGUCAUGUCCGUGAUCACAUCCGGGACUCCAAACUAACUUCGGUACAUCAAAACUCAUAAACUCAUAAUAUAACUGUCAUCGAAACCUUAAGCAUGCGGACCCUACGGGUUCGAGAACAAUGUAGACAUGACCGAGACACGUCUCCGGUCAGUAACCAAUAGUGGAACCUGGAUGCUCAUAUUGGCUCCUACAUAUUCUACGAAGAUCUUUAUCGGUCAGACCGCAUAACAACAUACGUUGUUCCCUUUGUCAUCGGUAUGUUACUUGCUCGAGAUUCGAUCGUCGGUAUCUCAAUACCUAGUUCAAUCUCGUUACCGGCAAGUCUCUUUACUCGUUUCAUAAUACAUCAUCUCGCAACUAACUCAUUAGUUGUAAUGCUUGCAAGGCUUAUGUGAUGUGCAUUACCGAGAGGGCCCAGAGAUACCUCUCCGACAAUCGGAGUGACAAAUCCUAAUCUCGAAAUACGCCAACCCAACAUUCAUCUUUGGAGACACCUAUAGAGCUCCUUUAUAAUCACCCAGUUACGUUGUGACGUUUGGUAGCACACAAAGUGUUCCUCCGGUAAACGGGAGUUGCAUAAUCUCAUAGUCAUAGGAACAUGUAUAAGUCAUGAAGAAAGCAAUAGCAACAUACUAAACGAUCGGGUGCUAAUCUAAUGGAAUGGGUCAUGUCAAUCACAUCAUUCUCCUGAUGAUGUGAUCCCAUUAAUCAAAUGACAACACAUGUAUAUGGUUAGGAAACAUAACCAUCUUCGAUUAAUCAGCUAGUCAAGUAGAGGCAUACUAGUGACACUUUGUUUGUCUAUGUAUUCACACAUGUAUUAUGUUUCCGGUUAAUACAGUUCUAGCAUGAAUAAUAAACAUUUAUCAUGAAAUAAGGAAAUAAAUAAUAACUUUAUUAUUGCCUCUAGGGCAUAUUUCCUUCAUAAAACCCUACUCCUGCUUUGGUGGAUUGUAUAUUUGUGUUCUUGAGCUAGCUAUGGGGCGUGAGGAGAUCCAAAAAGCCGAAUCCUCCUCCUGGUCGCCUCGGGCCUCCUUUUAUAGGAAAGGGGUUGCCACAGUGGCACACAGGAGGUGGAAAGGGUACAGUGAUGCAAGGUUAUCCCUCGCAUUACAUGACAAGGCGCAUUUAAUGCGUCUUGCCCAGGUGUCCUAGCUUUAUCGGGGACGGGGGAGAGCCCUGUCUCGUCCGUCGCUGCUCUCUCUUGUGUCGACACGCGCCCUGGCCAGCGGCGCCCGCGGCGCCAUGCAGGCAGGCAAGCAGCUGAGGUGGCGCAGUGGUGGGUCUCCAUGAAGAUCCGCAUGCCGCCACGUAGGUGCCUGCCCAGCUGGUUGGGUCGGCAGCUGCAUGCGAACGGCGGUGGAGGUUUGACUGGCGUGGGCCUGAUGGUGGCCCUACGGGUGUUCUUGGCAAAGGCCUUGCCGGGUGUAGGAUUGAAAGUAUGUCUAGAGGGGGUGAUUAGACUACUUGACCAAUUAAAAACUUAGCCUUUUCACAAUUUUAGUUCUUGGCAGAUUUUAGCUAUCUUAGAGAAAGUCAAGCAAUCAUCACACAAUUCAAGCAAGCAUGCAAAGAGUUUAUUGGCAGCGGAAAGUAAAGCAUGCAACUUGCAAGAAUGUAAAGGGAAGGGUUUGGAGGAUUCAAACGCAAUUGGAGACACGGAUGUUUUCCCGUGGUUCGGAUAGGUGGUGCUAUCCUACAUCCACGUUGAUGGAGACUUCAACCCACGGAGGGUAAUGGUUGCGCGAGUCCAUGGAGGGCUCCACCCACGAAGGGUCCACGAAGAAGCAACCUUGUCUAUUCCAUCAUGGCCAUCGCCCACGAAGGACUUGCCUCACUAGCGGUAGAUCUUCAUGAAGUAGGCGAUCUCCUUGCCCUUACAAACUCCUUGGUUCGACUCCACAAUCUUGUCGGAGGCUCCCAAGUGACACCUAGCCAAUCUAGGAGACACCACUCUCCAAGAAGUAACAAAUGGUGUGUUGAUGAUGAACUCCUUGCUCUUGUGCUUCAAAUGAUAGUCUCCCCAACACUCAACUCUCUCUCAUAGGAUUUGGAUCUGGUGGAAAGAAGAUUUGAGUGGAAAGCAACUUGGGGAAGGCUAGAGAUCAAGAUUCAUAUGGUAGGAAUGGAAUAUCUUGGUCUCAACACAUGAGUAGGUGGUUCUUUUUCAGAGCAUAUGAGUAGGAAUGGUGUAUGUGUUCUGAUGGCUCUCUCUUCGAAUGAAGAGGAGGUGGAGGGGUAUUUAUAGCCUCCACACAAAAUCCAACCGUUACACACAAUCUACCAAUCUCGGUGGGACCGAAUCAGAAAACUCGGUCUGACCGAAAUAGUAAACCUAGUGACCGUUAGGAAUUUCGGUGGGACUGAGAUGCAACUCGGUAGGACCGAUUCGGUUAGGGUUUGGGCAUAACGUAAUCUCGGUGAGACCGAUCGCACAAACUCGGUGAGACCGAAUUCGGCAAUUAGCUAACCAGAGAGUUGGUCAGGCAAACUCGGUGGGACCGACUUGCUCUUUCGGUGAGACCGAAAAGUUACAAGAAGGAAACAUAGAGUUUACCUUGCAUUCUCGGUGGGACCGAUUCGCUCUUUCGGUGAGACCGAAAAGUUACGAAAGGGAAACAAAGAGUUUGCAAGCCCAUCUCGGUGAGACCGAGAUCCUUAUCGGUAGGACCGAAUUGCUAGGGUUUGGCAGUGGCAAAUGACAAGUGAAACUCGGCGGCGCCGGAUUGACAGAAUCGGUAUGACCGAGUUUGGCUUAGGGUUUAGGUUAUUUGUGGAUAUGGAAAGGUGGUUGAGGAUUUUGGAGCAUAUCACUAAGCACAUAAAGCAAGAGGCUCAUUAAGCAACACCUCAUCCCUCCUUGAUAGUAUUGGCUUUUCCUAAAGACUCAAUGUGAUCUUGUAUCACUAAAAUAUAAAAUGAAGAGUCUUGAACUUUCGAGCUUGAGCCAAUUCUUUGUCCUUAGCAUUUUGAGGGUUCCACUUUCAUAUCCAUGCCAUGCCAAUCAUUGAGCUUUCCUGAAAUAAUCAUCUUGAAAUAGCAUUAGCUCAAUGAGCUAUAUGUUGUUAUAAAUUACCAAAACCACCUAGGGAUAGUUGCACUUUCAUUCUCCCCUUUUUGGUAAUUGAUGACAACAUAUAGAUCAAAGCUUCGACAAAUAAUAAUAAUCAUGAAAUACAUCGUCGCUUUGAGAAGUAUGUGAUAAGUAAGAGCUCCCCCUAAAUUUGUGCAUAUUUUAAGAUUUGCUUUGGACUGCAAAUGCACAAGGAGUUAGAAUCAUGGGUUACUCUUCCAUGUCACAUACAUCUUGGUGGAGCGCUCAAAAAUGAUAAGAUUGAAAUACAUGCACUCAUCACCAAGAAUAGUGAAUGAUCACAAACGAUAGAUAGAAUGAUAACAUUUAGCAAGCAUUAAGCAACCAUUAAGUGUAGCUUAUGAUCAAACACUUGAUCAUCGAUGUCUCACGAAUAAUGACAUAGUAUCGCACACGCAAGCAAACAAAGUUCGAAAAACCACCAAAUAAAAACAAGAGAGAAUAAAAGCAACACUCUCUCUCGAAGCCUAUGAUCUAUACAUUUUCUCCCCCUUUGGCAACAAGUUACCAAAAAGUUCCUAGAAAAUGCAUAGUGCUAAGUCGACGCUCAGGCUUGAUCUUCAGGUGGUGGUGGAGUCCGGAGCACGCCAAGGACGAAGCCUUCGGUAGAAGUGGUCGGAGUCGAGGCUGAAGUGGAUGCUGGAGCUGGUGGAACUAAGGUUGUGGCUGGCACAGACGUUCUGGCUCUGGUGUCAGCAACUGGCAGUGUAGACGACCUCGGACCUCGUGGCACCCUCGCAAAAGCAUCAGUCAUGGUCCUGCCUCUCCUCUCAUUCAUGUCCUCCUGAAGCUGCUCCACGGCGGUCUGUAUCUCUGUCACCUUGAUGUCCAUGUCAUAGAACCUCUGUUCCAUGAUCCUCUCUAGGCUUGCCUGGUUCUGAGUCAGGGUGGCAAGUCCUUGCUCAAUACGCAGGGUGGACGCUAUCAGGUAACCGAGCUGAUCUUGUUUGGUUUUUAGGAAGUAAUCAGAUGCCUCCGCUUGAGUAGGCAUCCUGGCAGCUUUCUCCUUCUUCGCCUUCUCCUUCCGAGCUUGUGCAUGAGCAGAUGAGGGUUCAUUCUCAGUCAUAACCACUUGGUUAUCCUCAAAAUCUGGACGGAUGGGCAGGUGUUCCUUAUCUAAUAAAUACACGCCCGUGCCCAUCUUGGAGUUGAUGAGCUCCUGAAUCUGUGGGGCAUACCCACAACUCCUCUUCUGGUCUGCAACUGUCCUCUUGAUUGUUUCCACAAUGAGACUCAUGACCUUGAAUUUCUGAGGCACGUCAAAGACAUGAAGCAAGUUGAUCGUGUGACCUCUGAUCAUCUUGUGAUCUCCAGAUUUGGGCAGAAGGGUGUGCCUAAGGAUCCAGUUGAUCGUAGGCAAUCCUGAGAGCAGAUAAUGCACUGAGCCAAACUUGAACGUGUCGAGCGCUUCAUUCGGGGUCUCCUUGUACAUGUUGGACAUGGAGUUGUGAUCCAUCUUUUUCUUGGCAUAAAUGUCCAAGUCAUCAGCUUGCUCCUCUGGGGCAUUGAUCAACUUCGCCCAUUCUUCAACAGUGGAUUGGUACCUUGUACCCUCUGACAUCCAUGUGAUCCUGCCAUCCGGAUAAAAGUGUGCUGUGGAGUAGAAUUGCAUGAUCAGCUCCUUGUUCCACUUUGUGAGCUUCUGCCCAACAAAGUCUGCAACUCCACACGCACUAAAGCUGUCAAAUACACCGGGGUAGUACUCUUCAUUGUCCUUGAUGUAGGUCCAGUCGACCCAUCUCAUGUCACAAACGAUUGGCUUCUUGUCAAGCAAAACAGUCUCAUAGAAAUCUUGCUGUUCCUUGGUAUGAAAUCUGUAAUCCACGGCAGUCCUUCUCCUAGAAGCAUACGGAUCUGCUUCUCUCCAUUUCCUUAGCCCUGAGUCUCUCCUGAGCUUCAUAUCCUCAGCCACAGGAUGAACAUCGUUGUGGUCUGGGAUCUUGGGCUUGAGCUUCCUAAGGACACUCUCUCCCUCUUCUUCGAUAGCUUCAGGCAUUGGGGCCUUGUUCUUUUCCGCAGCUGGGAUGCUUCGUGUGUUUCUCUUUGGUGCACUCUUAGGCUUAGAUGCAGCCUUAGGUGCAUCCUUGGGCUUGGAUGCAGCUGUUCCUGACCUUAUAGCAUCUCCCAUGAGUUUGGCUGCCUUAGGUGCUGGUGCAGCAACCUCUUCUUCUUCCUCCUCAUCUACCAUGAUGGAGGCCUUCCCAAGCACUCUGGCUACAGUCUUAUUUACCCUCUCUUUCCUCUUCUUGCCCUCAGCAGCAACGGGCUCAACGGGAGCAGGCUUCACCGUUGAAGCUCUAGCCUUUGACAUGGGCUGCCUGCCUGCUGGCCUUUUGAUUUUCAGCCCUGGCUUUGUGCCUUGAGCUGGUUCAGCUCUCUUUGAUGUGGCCUCUUCCUCUGCCACAUAGUCUUCAUCCUCAGAAUCAGACGUUCUCUUCUUCCUUUGAUGUGUGGCAGCCUUAGGCAGAUUGCUGGGGGUGCUCCUGCUGCCAUCAUCAGAAGAACUUGAGGGGCUAGUGCCCUCACUCAUCACAACUUGCUGCUCAGACACAUUCUGGCUGUCACUUUGAUCAGACAUGUUGCAAACUGACUGCUGACCCUGUGAAUAGAUUAUGGAUAAGAUAGAGUGGAUGAGCAUCACAAAAAGUAGAGAUUUUUGCAAAAGAUUAAUUCAAAAACUUAGUUUUAGUUUUCCAAAGAAAGCAUCUCGGAUCUACCGAUUUUCAAACUCGGUGACACCGAAGCAGUUUUGGCACCAAAACUGGUGAACUCGGUCAGACCGAGUCACAGUUCGGUGGCACCGAGACUGCUAGCAUUUCACAGAAUUCAAAAUCGAUCGCACCGAUAAGUUAUUCUCGGUCAGACCGAGUUUCACUUGUGCAAUGGCAAAAGCCAGAUCGGUGGGACCGAGUUUUUCAACUCGGUGGGUCCGAGAUGGUUUCGGCGGAAACCUAACCCUAAAAUUUUCGAAUUAAACCUAAUCUACCAGUUCAUUGACUGGAUAGGAGUGUUUCAAUCGUGGCAAGAAUCAUGAUGAUCGCAAUGUGCUAGGAAUCGGAGUGGAGAAUAGCACAAAGAUCGAGUCCAUACCCUAGUUCGGCGGAGACUCGCUACGGCGGCAACGGCGGGGCAGAAUUCCGUUGACGGCGGCGGAGACCAGCGACUGGAGGCUGCUGGUGGCGAGAAGACGAUCCGGAGACCACGGAGGCAGAGCAGGCUAUCGCGCGGGCGAAGAGGUUUCGGAGAAAUUUCCAAAAUUUUGCCCGUCACUAUAUAUAGCCCGACCCUGUCGGUGUGACCGAGUGGAACAACUCGGUGGCACCGAGAUGCAAAACUGUGUGCAGUUAUUGCAACUCGGUGUGACCGAAAAGUUCAAAUCGGUUGCACCGAGAUCGAAAACCUAGAUCAACUUAAUGAACUCGGUAGGACCGAAAAUGGAGUAUCGGUCAGACCGAGAUUCAUAAAGAGGUUUUGGAAGUUUAAGUCUAUGACGAAUCGGGGACUCCGAGCGCUCCUCACACAGAGUGGUUCGAAUCUGACUUGAUCAAGUUUUGUGAUGCAGCAUGAAUAGAGUUUGAGACGAGAAAAGCAUAGAUAGCUAGAGGAGGUUCUUAGGCAUUCUUGUCCAUCCACUUGGCAAAAGAAGAAAGCCAAACAAUCAAAACAACAAGUGGAUGUCCUCGAAUGAGUAAAAUAUGCAACCAACAUGCUCACACAAUAAGAUGGCAAAUGAAAUAUGUGGCAAAGCAUGCACAACCAAUUCUAGCAUCUAUCAAGCAAUUUGCGAUGACUAGGUCAUCUAUAUAUGAGUAUAUUGACUUAGGAGUCAAGUGAGAACACUUGAUCAUAGGUCAUACUCAUCGUUUAAGCUCAAGUGGGGUUACCACUUUUACAUAAAGCAUUGUUGUAUUCACAUCUUUAGAGUUGCUUUAGCUCAAGUCUUAGAGUAAAGCUCCCCCUAGAUGUGAUAUCCCCCCUAAGAGGGAUGAACUAACCUUGGGUUUUGUCGAUGAUGACUUCAUGUAGAUGUUGAAGAUGUGGAUGCUCAAUGUUGAUGUAGAUCACUUGGAGCUAUCCAUUUGAGUGAAUUGCACUUUCAAUACCUACAUGGGUUAGUCCCACAAGGAACAAACAAGGAUAUCCAUAGACAUAGAGUGAUGCACACACAAGAUGAUGUCCAUGAAAACUUUAGGUUACCUUGUCCCUUGUCUUACCAACAAGAGGGUUUGUGACUCCUUGAACUACUGCAAGAUGUGGAAGUUGAUUGCACUUGUUCUUGCCAAAAUGAUAAGAGUGAAGUAUGUUGGCGGAGUCACCCUCAAGAACUCUCUAGUUCUUCUUCUUUUGGAUCCACACCAUCUUGAUGGGAGUCCUUGGAGUUGUAGUCAUACUUGAUGAAGUGGAACUUGACGUGGUCUUGGGAAUCCACUUGACUAAGGUCUUAGGAGCUUCUUCGAAUGCAUCAAUCUCCUCUUGAAGCUUGUCCUUGCCUUUUAGCUUCUAGACUUGUGGUGGAAGAUCAUCUUGAGCUUGUGUCCCCUUGAAAGAAGUGUCAUACUUCUCUUGUUUAGGAACAAACUUUGUCUUGGGGUAUUGAUCUUCUUCCCAUUCAACUCCAUUGGCAUUGAACUUUCGUUCAAAACCAACACCUUGAUUCUUCCGGUGCAUUCCUUGCUUGCGCACAAUUUCCUCGAAUUGCUUACUUCCGGCAAGGCUCUUGUAAACACCUUUCUCUAUAAUUCCCUUCAAUAAGCUAUUUUCUUGCUCAAGUGUAACUUGGCUAAGAGAAUCAUUAGUGGAAUCAAGAGAACUACUAGAAGCAACAAUAUUGGAUUUAGCAUGAUCAUUGUUACUACUAGAGGAAGAAUCUUUCUUGUUCUUGUUACUAGACUUGACUUGAGGCAUGUAAGUGGAUAAUAGUAAACGCUUGGAAAUGUAAGAAGAACUUUUCUUGCGGAGGUCAUCAUUGAUUGCUUUUAAGAACUCAUGCUCUUGCUCAAGAUUGAGCUUUUCAAAGCGUAAUUUCUCAUGAGCUCUUAAAAGUUCUCGAUGAUCUUCAAAGAUAGUUUCAUGAGCUAACUUAAGAGUGUUUAGUUCUUUAGUUAGAGCCUCAAUCUUCUCCUUAUCAUUGUCAUUCGUUUUAGCAUGAUUAAUUGAUGUUUCAUCAUAGUACUCAUCACUAGAGUUGUCAACAAGCAAGUCAUCAUCACCUAACAAGUCAUCUUCAUCACUAUUAAAGUCAACAUACUCGGGGUGUGUUACCUUAGGACCUUUGGCCAUGAAGCAUCUUCCAAUUCCUUCAUUUGGUGAGUCAAAUAUGUCGUAGGAGUUGGUUGACACAAGUGCUAGACCGGCAACACCUUCAUCUUGAGUAUCUUCGGAGUCGGAGUGAUAACUUCUCUCGGAGUGGCUGUCGGAGUUGGAGCCGGAUACCCAUUCACCAACAUGAGCUUGAUGUCUUUGUUUUGUAUAGCUCCUUGAUGAUUUUUCCUUCCUUUCCGAAUCCUUGCUUCUCCGUGAGUAUCUUCGUUCAUAACGAUCAUCUCUACUCCUUCUCUCUCUUGGUGGAGAUUCUUUGCUUCUUCUUUUUGGAGAAUCUUCUCUUCUCUUGUAGGGAGCCGUACACUCAUUGGAAUAGUGUCCGGGUCUUCCACAAUUAUAGCAGUUUUGCUCUCGACUAGAAGAUCUUUUGUCAUUGUAGGACCUUGACUUGAAGCAUCUAUCUUUGUUUCUACUCUUGUAGAACUUGUUGAAGUUCUUCACCAUUAAGCUCAAUUCUUCAUUGAAGUUUUGUUUCUCACUUGAUGAUGUGGGGACUUCACAUGACGCUUUGUAGGCACCACUUGAUUUAUUGUGAAGUUCCUCUUUAUCCUUGAGUGACAUCUCAUGAGCAACAAUCCUUCCAAUUACUUCUGUUGGCUUGAGAUCUUUGUAGUUGGGCAUCAUUUGGAUUAAUGUGCACACGGUAUCAUAUUUCCCAUCCAAGGCUCUUAGGAUCUUCUUGAUGAUGAAUCUAUCGGUCAUCUCUUCACUUCCUAAGCCGGCAAUCUCAUUUGUGAUGAGAGCAAGCCUAGAGUACAUUUCAGCGAUACCUUCACCAUCCUUCAUCUUGAACUUGACAAGUUGACUUUGGAGCACAUCCAACUUGGAUUCCUUGACAGAGUCGGUACCUUCGUGCAUAUCAAUCAAAGUAUCCCAAAUUUCCUUUGCAUUCUCAAGGCGGCUGAUUUUUUUGAAUUCUUCGGGGCACAAUCCGUUGAAGAGAAUAUCACAAGCUUGAGCAUUGUAUUGCAACAUCUUCAACUCAUCCGCAGUAGCUUCACGGUUUGGUUCUCUCCCAUCAAAGAACUCACCUUGCAAACCAACACAAACAAUAGCCCAUACGGCGGGGUUAUGUCCAAGAAUAUGCAUUUUCAUUCUAUGCUUCCAACUGGCAAAAUUAGUGCCAUCAAAGUAAGGACCUCUACGGUGAUAGUUUCCCUCGCUAGACGCCAUACUCUCCUAGGUUGUGAAACCAAGGCUAUGACCACCAAAAGCUAUGGAGAUCAAGGCAAAUGGAGACCAAAGCUCUGAUACCACUUGUAAGAUCAAAAGUAUGUCUAGAGGGGGGUGAUUAGACUACUUGACCAAUUAAAAACUUAGCCUUUUCACAAUUUUAGUUCUUGGCAGAUUUUAGCUAUCUUAGAGAAAGUCAAGCAAUCAUCACACAAUUCAAGCAAGCAUGCAAAGAGUUUAUUGGCAGAGGAAAGUAAAGCAUGCAACUUGCAAGAAUGUAAAGGGAAGGGUUUGGAGGAUUCAAACGCAAUUGGAGACACGGAUGUUUUCCCGUGGUUCGGAUAGGUGGUGCUAUCCUACAUCCAUGUUGAUGGAGACUUCAACCCACGGAGGGUAAUGGUUGCGCGAGUCCACGGAGGGCUCCACCCACGAAGGGUCCAUGAAGAAGCAACCUUGUCUAUUCCAUCAUGGCCAUCGCCCACGAAGGACUUGCCUCACUAGCGGUAGAUCUUCACGAAGUAGGCGAUCUCCUUGCCCUUACAAACUCCUUGGUUCAACUCCACAAUCUUGUCGGAGGCUCCCAAGUGACACCUAGCCAAUCUAGGAGACACCACUCUCCAAGAAGUAACAAAUGGUGUGUUGAUGAUGAACUCCUUGCUCUUGUGCUUCAAAUGAUAGUCUCCCCAACACUCAACUCUCUCUCAUAGGAUUUGGAUCUGGUGGAAAGAAGAUUUGAGUGGAAAGCAACUUGGGGAAGGCUAGAGAUCAAGAUUCAUAUGGUAGGAAUGGAAUAUCUUGGUCUCAACACAUGAGUAGGUGGUUCUUUUUCAGAACAUAUGAGUAGGAAUGGUGUAUGUGUUCUGAUGGCUCUCUCUUCGAAUGAAGAGGAGGUGGCGGGGUAUUUAUAGCCUCCACACAAAAUCCAACCGUUACACACAAUCUACCAAUCUCAGUGGGACCGAAUCAGAAAACUCGGUCUGACCGAAAUAGUAAACCUAGUGACCAUUAGGAAUUUCGGUGGGACUGAGAUGCAACUCGGUAGGACCGAUUCGGUUAGGGUUUGGGCAUAACGUAAUCUCGGUGAGACCGAUCGCACAAACUCGGUGAGACCGAAUUCGGCAAUUAGCUAACCAGAGAGUUGGUCAGGCAAACUCGGUGGGAACGACUUGCUCUUUCGGUGAGACCGAAAAGUUACAAGAAGGAAACAUAGAGUUUACCUUGCAUUCUCGGUGGGACCGAUUCGCUCUUUCGGUGAGACCGAAAAGUUACGAAAGGGAAACAGAGAGUUUGCAAGCCCAUCUCGGUCAGACCGAGAUCCUUAUCGGUAGGACCGAAUUGCUAGGGUUUGGCAGUGGCAAGUGACAAGUGAAACUCGGUGGCGCCAGAUUGACAGAAUCGGUAUGACCGAGUUUGGCUUAGGGUUUAGGUCAUUUGUGGAUAUGGAAAGGUGGUUGAGGAUUUUGGAGCAUAUCACUAAGCACAUAAAGCAAGAGGCUCAUUAAGCAACACCUCAUCCCUCCUUGAUAGUAUUGGCUUUUCCUAAAGACUCAAUGUGAUCUUGGAUCACUAAAAUAUAAAAUGAAGAGUCUUGAACUUUUGAGCUUGAG
Molecule: long non-coding RNA, 59521 nt
Filed under: Triticum aestivum (bread wheat)
Lineage: Eukaryota; Viridiplantae; Streptophyta; Magnoliopsida; Poales; Poaceae
Description: long non-coding RNA (TAES_LNC010985)
Source: RNAcentral